RNAcentral lists this long non-coding RNA (84526 nucleotides) under Eucalyptus grandis. Its description in RNAcentral is "long non-coding RNA (EGRA_LNC000025)". The record is from RNAcentral. Lineage: Eukaryota; Viridiplantae; Streptophyta; Magnoliopsida; Myrtales; Myrtaceae.
CCGAGCCUCCCUCGGGCGAUGUGGUGAUCUUCACCUCGUUGCUGAUCUUCUCGAAGGUGGUGCCCAGCAUGUCGCCCUCGAUGAUCGAGUAGCAGUAGGUGAAGUUCUCCUUGUCCAGGGCCUCAACCUUUUGCUUCAUUGUCUUGUACUGACUGCCUAUCAAAGUAAGAAAAAAUAAUAUUCACGUUUAGAACUCGCCCGUUUCAACAUCACGAACAACGAUCUCGAUGGUGUUGAUCGGGCCAUUUAGGUUGUUCCAACUGCAAUCUGAUACGAUUGACUUAGUAGACAUGGCCUGAUUUCCCUCGAUUGGAGUCAAGUCACGUGAUCACUUGUGUAAAUCAAUGAUUAGAAACAUCUUUAAUUAACCAAGUUACAUAUCUAUCUUUUUUAAUGUUCAUUAUGAUGUUCCAUAAGGUUGAAAUAGCCUUGAUCCAGAGCGAUCCUAACACGGACGGACUAACCUUCGCCGAAAGUGAUCAACUUGACGGUCCCGGGACCUCCGUCACCCUCGAGGACUUCAACGCUCUUGAUGGCUUGCGGGAGCACCUUGGGGAUGAGGUUAUCGGCGUCGAGGACAGCGGCCUUGAACAUCUUGGCCGGAGGGAUUGGGGUCGUGAUCUCAGAGUCGUAACUGACGACACCCAUGAUUUGGAUCCGAAUGGAAUUGCCGAAAGAAAGAAGAGGGUGAUCGGGAAAGGCUGACUAGCAGUGAUGAAGUUGGUCUCUAGGACUUGGGAGUGAAGAGAAGAGGAUGAACUGAAGCUGACAUAUAUAGAGAGACCGAGUGUGAAGGGUUCUCGUCAUUGGAUAUUUUCUUAAGUGUGUUCGUUUGGUACAAAAUAAAUAAUUAAAUAAUUAUUUGUAUCAUUUGGUAUAAUUAUUUGAUGAGAAAGUUUUGCAUUAUUGACAAUAAUUUAUAUAUAAAUAUUUUUUAUUCGUUUAUUUUUGUAAUUUAUAUAAAAAAAAUAUUUUUUUUACGAAACAAAUGAAGCUUAAUAAAAAAAUCUUAAUCGGUCUGUGGGUUGUUCAAUCAUGACAUGGAGGGGAGCGUGUGACGACAAAGUCAGUUCUUCUUACCGUUCGUGGCCCGGCUUUCGGUCGUCGGCUCGGCUCGCCUUGCGUUUUGGAAACGGCAUCUUCUCUCUCUCUCUCUUUCCUUCUCUCGCCCGCUCUUCCCUGCCCCGCCCCCCGGGCUUUGCUGUGGUCGCGACCAGAUGGAACUUUGACCGUGGAUUAGAUCGUUCGUUCGGUGGUGUUGGUGUCGAGGGUCGUUUGUCUUGUCCGUGCACAAAUUCCUUUCUUUCUUUUUUUUUUUUUUUGCUUUUUUUUUCUUUAUUCGAUGAGGUCGUCGUUCGAUGAGGUCGACCUUGACCUCGCCGGUUGCCAUGGUCCGUCGACUAGAGGAAGAAGAUGAGAAGAAAAAAAUAAAAAUAAAAAUAAAAAUUCAAAAAAAUUACAAUAUUAUUAGAAGUUGUCCACGUCAUCGUGUUUAGUCAGCAAAAUCCGGUCAAAAUUGACCGGAAAUGACUGAAUUGGUAUAAAGUAAAAAUAUUUAGGACUAAAUCAGCACAAAAACAAAAUGUUUAGAACUUUUUAGGCAUUUUUCCCCUAAAAUGGGUAUUACAAGUUUACGAAAGGUACGAACUCAAAAGUCUCCCAAUAAUACUUAAAUUCUCUUGUAGUAGUUAUAUCUAUCUAAUCUUCAAUUAAAAAAGAAAAAUUUCAGUAAAAUUCCUUAAAAACACAUGUAUAAAAUCUUGUUAUCUUCUAUUAAUGCAGGUUUUAAUCAUAUUGUUUCACCAACCUUCUCAGCGAAUUAGUCCCUUUUUUUAGCAUAACUAAUCUUGGGAUGUCACAUUUUAUUGCUAUAACUUGGGGCUUUGAUUUAGGAACUCCAAUAAUCAUUAAAUCUAUCCAUGGAGAGCGCCCGCUAAAAAAAUCUGACUGCUUUGCAUAACCUAGUUUGGUUCAACACCUUUCCUCCAGUAACUUUCCUGACAUAGUAAAAUCUUACUUAUGUACUUGUAAAAUCCGAACCAAGUUUCUGUAUAGAUUAAACAUGAACAUUUGCACACUUAAAUGAAUUCUUUAAAUCCCUGGGUUAAAUUUUGAUAUUAUCAUAAUCCUUUAUUUUCCAAGUAGUUUCUCCAUUUUCGACAAUGACAAACCUAUAACAUUCCUUCAAUGAGAGUGAGCUAUGCACAUAAGCAUGCAUAUUCUGCAGAACUAUUUGAAUGUAAAACCAGAGAUGAUUCAUGCAUGCUUCUACAUGUGACAUUUUAAUAGACCAUACAAAUAUGUCUGCAAAACAUAAUAAACUCUCCUUAAUAUGUACACAUAGUGUGAUACUCCCCCUGAGUAUGUGCUUCUCCCCCUUCUUGUUUCUUAAAAAAGCAAGAACAUCAUAUGCCCAGGGAUGAAAACCAUAUAAGCAAAAGCAUCCAUUUAUUUAUAUACAAGAGUGUUCCACAAAGCAUAUUCUGGAAAAAUUAAUAUAAAGGAAAGUGAACAUUAACCAAAAGGAUCACAAACACCGAUUUCAUCCAUCAAGCUAGAAACGUAUUGUUAUCAAGAGGUUUAUUCAAAAUAUGAGCGAAUUGCAGAUCGAUGUUAACAAAUCCUUUUCAUUAAUUCAUGUUGUGCUGUGGCUGCCAUAAUUAAAUAAAUAAAUAAAAGAAUCAUAUGAAGGAGUCUCUCUUCUUGAAGUUUGACCUAGUUCAGAGCUCCUCGAAAUGGAAGCCACCCCCGUUAAUUAGCACAACUCAUUGUUUAGAGUUAAAUCUUUUAUUAGAAAUCCAAAAUUUAGGCAAUUAAAUACUUGGCCAAUUUUUAAGACAGUGUGACUCUAAAAAUUGUGCUCAUAUUCAACUGAAACACAAUUAGUAAAGAAAGACUUACCGAGUGCUUAACAAUGUCGCAAUUACACUUAUCUUCAAAUCCUUACAUUAAGGAUGACACAUCCUUAUAUUUCAAUAAGGGCCAUUGACUUAACUAAGAAAUUUUAUCUGUUGAAUACUUGAAACACAGAAAUCUGACUAAUUGGAGUAUGAAUUACUGAAACUACAACAACAAUUGAGUAGAAAUGUAAAAGAGACUUAGGGUUGAUGCCUGAUUAUAUAUCGAAAUACCAUGGGUUUGACAUAUAGACCUCCUUGUCAAAGCCCUGUAUGCUAUUGGAAAUAUGUAUACGUAUUAGGCGCAUUCUGUGGGCUACUACAUGGUGCACUUGUUUUAUAUUUAAAGUUUCAAUGGGUUAGUUUUGUCUACUGGUAAUAUUUUCCUCCAAUCAUACUUUCAAUUAAUAGGUCAAAGAUUAUGGACAUUAUCAAUACGAAAUUUAAUCAAAAUCAAAUACGAGUGAUGUUAAUAUUUGUGUAAUCCAUCAAUGAAAGUUAUGGCUAAAAAGAGUUCAUCCAGCUAGAGCGUUACAUGUGUAAAUAGAGAUAAAAUAAAUUUAGAAUUCUAUCCGUGAACUUUUAUAUCAUUGACUACGGUUGCUAACAAGCAUUUUCAUUGCAAAAUUUGACAACAUUUUUCGAUGGCUUUUGGAUUAUCACAUAAUUAUGUCGUGAUUCAGUUUUAUCAUGUUCAGAUUUAGUUUUUUUACAUUUAUUUGAAUCUAAGUUACAAUUAUUGCACGUGAUGGUUGACACUUAAGGGCCUGCAUGGUUGGCACUUAUUUCUGUUCCCAGGAACAGAAAUUUCUGUUUUUUUGUUCCUGGGAACAAAAAAGGAACAGAAACGCGUUUGUGUGCGUUUCNNNNNNNNNNNNNNNNNNNNNNNNNNNNNNNNNNNNNNNNNNNNNNNNNNNNNNNNNNNNNNNNNNNNNNNNNNNNNNNNNNNNNNNNNNNNNNNNNNNNNNNNNNNNNNNNNNNNNNNNNNNNNNNNNNNNNNNNNNNNNNNNNNNNNNNNNNNNNNNNNNNNNNNNNNNNNNNNNNNNNNNNNNNNNNNNNNNNNNNNNNNNNNNNNNNNNNNNNNNNNNNNNNNNNNNNNNNNNNNNNNNNNNNNNNNNNNNNNNNNNNNNNNNNNNNNNNNNNNNNNNNNNNNNNNNNNNNNNNNNNNNNNNNNNNNNNNNNNNNNNNNNNNNNNNNNNNNNNNNNNNNNNNNNNNNNNNNNNNNNNNNNNNNNNNNNNNNNNNNNNNNNNNNNNNNNNNNNNNNNNNNNNNNNNNNNNNNNNNNNNNNNNNNNNNNNNNNNNNNNNNNNNNNNNNNNNNNNNNNNNNNNNNNNNNNNNNNNNNNNNNNNNAAUAAAAAAAUUAUACAAAUUUACCAAACAUGUUUCUGUUUAUUUUUUAUUCUCGGAACAAGUUUACCAAACGCGUAUUUUUGUUCAAAAAUUGUUCCCCGGAACAGAAAUACUUUUUUCUAUUUCUGUUCCUGGAACAAUUUUUAAACAGAAACACAACCAAACGCGCCCUAAAUUUCGCUGUUUUUCUUCCUCUUCUUUUGUCCCCGCGCGGCCCAAUCUCGUUUUUCCUUUCGGCCCGCCCGCGCCCCAGCUGUCUUCCUUGUCCUGUCUUCGCGCGCAAACCUGCAGAGGAGAGACAGCAGCAGCAGCAGCACAGCAGCAGCACGCCAGCAGGGGGAGCAGGAGCAGAGUAGAAAGCACGCGAGCAACAGGCGGACCGGCGGAAAGAAAAGACAGGGGGAAGCAAGGGGCAGAAAGAAAGUGGAGCAACCAGAGAAAGAAAAACAGAGGGAGAGAGCUCGAGAGGGAGGGAGAGAACCGGAGAGGAGGGGAGUCUCCGGCACUGUCGCCGCCGCCGCCGACGCUCGCUGCCGCCUCCCACACCUCUCCAGCAACCGCCAUCCCCGACGACCACCGCCGUGUUGCCUCCCCCGCCGUCGCCUGCUGCUGCGUUUUCGUCACCAGCUGCCGCGUUCGCCGUCGCCCGCCGCUGCCUUUCCGCCACCGUGCCGUCACCCGCUGCGUCCCAACCGUCGCCGUCAAGCCCGUCGCCGCCGCCGCCGUCCGUACGCCUAGCGACGCCUCAGCCGCAAGCAAGGAGAGGGACGUCCAUCGGGUCGCAGCCGGGUAGGAUUUUGAUCUUCGGGCAGGCCGCGUCUGGGCCGAAGCAAGGCCUUUGGGCCGGUUUAAUAUUAGUUUUUCCUUUUGUGUCGGGCUGGUUUAAUAUUAGUCUUUCCUUUUGUGUUGGGCCGGGCUUAGUUUACUUAGGUUUCUUUUUUAGGUGGACUCAGUUUUGAGCUGGACUGGGCCCGUCGUUCAGGCCCAGUCCUGUUGGGGCCCUGCCGAAUUUGGCCCUCCCCCGACCAGGCCGAACCCGGGUCGGUCAGACCGGACCCGACCCGGUUCGCCCAUUUUUUUAAAAUUUAUUUUAUUUUUUAAAAAUAAUUAAAAAUGUAAAAAUUUCGAAAAUUUAAAAAAUGUUGGGUUUAGUUAGGAAUUAUCAUGUCAACAUAAUUAAGCUUUUAUUUUCUUGUACCUUGAUUAUAUUGCAUGUUUAAUUAGCAUAUUUGAUUAUGUUUGUGGAUGUUUAAUUGCACAUGUUUAAUUUUACUGCAAUUAAGAUUUUGGUAGCUAUUAUUGUUAUUCUAAUGAUUGUACAUUUAUACAAUUACAUUAUAUGUUAGUGGAUAUGUGUAAAAUCAAUCCACAUUGCCUGACAAAAAUCAUUUCUUUUUAAAAUGAACAAUAUUAAGUAUUGAAAAGACACUAAUUGGUUAAUUAGUAUAAUCAUAUUCCCGACCCUAGAUUCUUUAGUUGGUAAGAAGUGUGGUAUACUCUCAUGUCUCACUUGGUUUUUAACCGACCCCAAUAUAGCUUACUCUAAUAGGUUAGUGGCGACUCUCUUUUGCAAAAUUCUUAAAAAUACCCAAAUGUCACGUGAGAUAAAGCUUAUGAGAGCCUAUGCCUAAUCAUAGGCUUUAGAUUCGUUGUUUAGGCAAUACCCUUAAACCUAUUCUUUCCCCCUGAUGGUAGGUCACGACAAUGAUCUAAGCUCCACCAAUAUUCUUACAUGACAUUUUCUGCUUGUCAAGCAUGUGACUUUAACGAUGUUGUAAAUUAAAUCAAUUACACGUUAAAAGUUUCAGUCAAUAAUUGACACAAAUAGUAGUAGUGGACCGACCGAAUAACAUUAGAUUGGCAAUGCAAAAUCUUAUUUCAAUAGAUCAAUAGCAUAACUACAGCAAAUAUCAAACUUUAGGACCGUGAAUGAAAUUUCUCGGUGUUAAAAAAUAAUUUUCCUUCUCUUGUCACGUCCACAGAAAAUCUUUUAGCACCACCACUACAAAAAAGGAUCGUGGUUUUCUUCCAUCACAAAUUUGAUUGGCAAGUUAUCAAAAUUUGAAGAAUCAUCCUAGAGACCGAUUCAAGGACAGCAGUUGAUCUACUAGUUGGCAAGAUUACAGAGGCGUUGAGGUCAGAUUGGGUGGUGAAAACCAACACAGCCCGUGAAGGCAAAACGUGCGACGAUUAAUAAGCCAAUGCAGCGUUCUUUCAGAGACUAGAUUUAGUUAUUCACUUAAGUUUAUCUACGGGGCUUCAAUUUGUACUUUUUAGGAGAUAAAAGUGGGUGUUAGGAGGCCUGGAGUUGCAUAUGAGACGUGUUAGAAAUUAAACCAAAUUAAUAGAUGUCCUCAAUCGACUACGAGUUGCUGAUGUCAAUGGAGAAGUUACUGAUAUUAAUGGUUGUCAAUGUUGAUAUUCCAUAAUUUGAUACUGAUGAUUUUGUUUGGUGAAUUGAUACGGAUGACUGUCCGAUGCUUGAGUUAAUUAGAUUCUUUAUUGUAGCGUUGUUUUUGAGAAGUCUAUUCGUAUUUUUAUUUCAUGUCUGUUCAUGUUUCUAAGUGUAAUCAAUGUUUUGUAAGUUCUUAGGAUUUUAUCACCUCAGAUUAGCUAUAUUUAUGAGUAAUUUAGUUUAAGAGUUAUGUGUGAAGCGUAUAAAAGUGGAGUCUUGUAAUUGUUUUUGAUAAGGUGAAAAAAAGGUGAAAUAAACAAAAAGGAUAUCUGUCUCCUUCUCUUUUUUGUGUUGUGUUAGUGAGUGUUUCAGCUUUAAAUUAUCCCAUCAAGAUGUAGCCUGUAUUUGUCUGUUACAAAAACUUGAAAUUUUCUAGUUUUGAUGCCAUAUGAAAUUAUGAAGGAGCGCUAUUAGCUAUUAUAGAAGUUUAGAUAAUUAGAUGGAUGCAUUAUUCGAUACUUAAUUGAUAUAACGUCUCUUUCACGACCCAUGUUCCUUUUCAACAACUAGAUUACUUCAACAGCUUGGCCUCAAUGAAAGGAGAGCUGUCUACAGAAGUGGAGGAUGAUGGAAUGAACAACUCGAUCGCGGAGGAGGUAAAGAAGGAUGAAAGAGGACCUUUAAUGGAAGUGUCAAAGGAUGAAAGGGAUUCUGAAGAAGAAAUCUGGAGAGGUCGACGGGAGAUAAUGAAUAAUGCAUUGGCGGCUUCCGCGGGGGACAAGAUCCGGCAAAAGCUUACGAAUAUGCUCGAAUACUGGCGCAUGUCAUCAAAGGCGGCAAGGUUGACGAGUUCCUUUCCAUGAUCAAUGUAAAUGAUCCAUUGUUGUGGGACAUCAAUUGGUCUGCCGUUUUGAAUUCCCGAUUGGAAUGGAACGAAUCACUGCUCCACAGGGCAGCAGCAAACGAGAACGACGACAUCCUAAGGCUUCUGGUUGAUUAUGUUGGUGACCACCUCAUAACCGCCCAAGAUGAUUGCAGAUAUACCCCACUCCACUGGGUCGCUCGGUUGGGGGGAUCUACUGGAGCUGUAGAGAUGUUGAUUCACCGGGCAAGAGACCUCCCCAACGUCGAGGACAAGAACCUCCUCUUGAGGAUGAAGAGCAACCGUGGAAAAACCGCUUUGCACUUGGCCGUGUGCUCUCAACAUGCCAACUUGGUGCGCUAUUUGUUGAGCGAAGAUUUGGAGCCCGUGUACUGGAAGAAUGCAAGUGAGAAAUCUCCCCUGUACCUAGCCCUCGAGAUUAAUGACUCCACAAUACAUGAGACUUUAUUUUCACUCUCGUUGGAACCGUCAAGGAUAGAAGGCUUGCCGCCCAUUCUUGGUGCCAUUGUACUUGGACGACACGGUACGUACCUAAAUCUGCUUAUGUGGAAAUAUAUUUAUCUAUUUCUGGACCGACUCGUCCCAAAUUUGUGCAAUAACCUUUUGCUCUUACCAGAACCUUUUACCGGUUUUUACUUAAAAUUCCCUACCCUGCUUGUUAAAGCAGUUGGAUACCCAUCGGUUUAGCCGCGCAUAAUAAACAAAUUAUUCACAUUAGAGCAUAAUAGAUUGGCUUAAAUAUUACAAAUACAACCAUUUCACUAGAAACUCGUGUUAUCGAUAUUUGAUUAGAAAAGCUAUAAAGUGCAAAUAUUUAAGAUUGAUGACCAUGAAAAUCUGGUAUCUAACAAUGAUGCCAUUUCUUAAGCGACUUAGAGCCAUGAACCAAAAUGAACAAAUGAAAGUUUAGGGCAGGAAUUAUAAACUGGUAGCAAACCUGUAGGCUGCGCAGGCGUGAUUUUUUCAUUGGAAAAAGAGGAGGUGAAGGUUCCGUCACUCUCAACAAAUUGAUGGAACAUCAUAAACCGUGAAUUUGUUUGUGACCAACAGUCAAUAGGUUUUUAAGAAAUUAACAAAAGUGGAUCUAAAUAAAGAAACAAAUUUUUGACUUUUUUUUAAAAAUGAAUACAGUUAUCAUAAACUUUGCACAAAAAGCCGAUAUCGUAGUCUAGCCUAAAUUACCUUGACCAUUAAAAAUAUUGAGUUAAAAUUCAUCAGACACGCGAUAAUCAAUUAUGCGGAAUUUUUUGGCUGCUAAUGCCAUGUAUCCCAAGUUUACUACUUGAUAAGCAUAGCUAACGUUCAUUGAUCAUCAGAUUGGUAGAUGGCAUUCAAGUGUUACAGUCAUAUCAAAUAGAGAGAAUUGUCCAAAAAGUGCUAGACUUAUUAUAUGAUUGUCGAUUCAGUUAUAAACAUGUUAAUUGUGUCAAUUUAACCUCUAUUUUAGUCCUAAACUUUUAAAAGAUUUGCCAACUUAGUCCUUCUAAUCAAUUUCUACUGGAAAUCAAUUUAUGCUGGAAAUUGCCGACAUGGCGGUCUAGUCAAAGUUAGCCAUCCUACAUGAUGUUGAUCGCCUAUGUGGCUUUUUUACAAUAUAUAUAUUAUUUUUUUAAUUUUUUGCAUUUUUUUCCUUUUCUUUUUUUUUAAUCCUUUUUCUCCCUCUGCCAGCCUCAGGCGAGGGCUGCCCUCUGACCCUUGCGUAGAGCAACCCUUGCCCUUGCUCGACCUCCACUAGGUGUCAACUGUUGAUGGUUAGAGAAGGGAAAAAGGAAAAAAUGAAAUUAGAAAACAAAAUGAAAAGAAAAAGACAAAGGAAAGGAAAGGAAAAAGGAAAAAAAAAUUAGAAAACUAAAAAAAUUGCAAAAAUUAUCCAUGUUAGCGUUGACUAUGCCAUGUAGGACAAUCAAUACUACUAGACCGCCAUGCCAAUGAUUUCCAACAAAAUUGGCUAGAAUGACUAAAAUAACAAAUUGUUAAAAGAUUUAUAACUAAAUUGGCAAGUUAUUAAACAUGGAAGGCUUCGCAGCUAUCCAGAAGAGAGCCUUACUCUAUAGGGGUGCUAACGCUUUACUAAGGUAUAGGAGAAGGGGCGGUUGGCUUAGUAAAGAGAGUAUAAAGUUCCACUUUGUGAAUAGUGCCUCGGCUCGGUUGAGUAAUGUAGUUCGCAAUUGUUAUGACUAAAUUGGCAUAAUUGAAAUAUUUAAGACUAAAUUAAUCAUCAUACAAUAAAUUCAAGACUUUUUGGACAAUUUUCCCUAUCAAGUAUAAUUCCAACCCUAGAUGCAGUAACUUUAUUUGUAUCCUGUCCCAAUUUAUUAAUCCGAGCACAUGUUAUUAUUUACAUUGCACGACGUAACAUGUUUGAGGCUGUCUAUUUAAACUGAACAUGCAAAACAAUUUCAAAUAGACAUUAAGUGAAAAUGCGUAACAAUGUAUUGUGUGAUGCAAAUAAUAAAUUAGCAUACCCAAUAAAUGUAGGUGUCUAAACUUACGUCGCACUCGUUGAAUAGAUUAUAGAAGUCGACUUGCACACAUAACGUUCAUAAUCCAUUUAUAAAUGGCUUAACUUAUUUGCGAUAAUACAAUUAAACCUAAUCCUACCAUAUGUAACCACGUUUCAUGUAGUGAACAUGUCUGUAGAAGGGCUGUUUCAUAGUUUGUCAGCUCAUAAUUCUAAUAAGUACUUUAGAAACUAUACAAAAGAUCCCAUUGAAAUUGGAUUUACUAUAUAUUUCUUAUUCUUACUGUCCAAUAUAUAAAAAUCCUUUUAUGAAGUACUACUAAUUGAAAUCUCAUAAUAAUAGUUCAUUUUAUUCCUCAUUGAAUGUAAAAGUAGAUGACAUUGUGGAAUGAAUCGAGCAUUGCCAUGGGCUUUUGUAGAGAGGCACUUUAAUUAGGCUCUCAUGAUAGGUAAGGUUCAUAUCAAUUAAAUAAGGUAAGGUUAUUUCUUUAAAUCUAGUAGUAUUCUUUCACUUGGGAAAAUUAUCCAAAAAGUCCUAAGCCUAUUGCACUUUUGCCAAUUCAAUCCUAAAUCAUUCAAUUUUGUCAAUUCAGUGCUAACCAUUUUCACUUCUUGCCAAAUGAGUGUAUUCCGCUAAUUUUGACCAGAAUUCAUUGAUGUGGAUAAUUUUUAUUAAUAUUUUAAUCAUUUUUUAAAAAAAUUAUACUUUUUUCUUUUUUUCUUUCUUUAUUCCCCCCUCUCUUCUUCCUUUUAUCAAUGGCUAGCUACUAACCACCAGUGAUGGCCAACUACCGGCCAUGGCUAGGUGAGUUGACCUUGCCCGCCGUAAGUGAUGCCUGGCCGGGCAAGGCCAAGCCCCAACAAGGGUCGGCCUCACCUAGGUUAGGCGAGACCAACCCUCGCCCAAACUAGGUGAGAUCGCCUAGGCGAGGGUGAGCCCCUUGUUCGACCAUGUCUUACUGAGGCAUGCGAGGCUAGCUAGCUCGGCCAUAGUUGGUGGCUGGCACAAAAGGAAGAAGAAAGGGAAAAAAAAUUUAAAAAAAAUAAAAAAAUAUUUUUAAGAGUUUACAUUAGUGUCAACCGUCUUACAAGACACCGCUAGUGUCCACAUCAGCGAAUUCCUAUCAAAAUUAGCCGGAUGGACUCAAUUACCAAGAAGUAAAAAGGUUUAUGACUGAAUUGACAAAAUUAAAGAGUUUAUGACUGAAUUGAUAUAAGUGCAAUAGAUUUAGAACUUUUGGGAAAUUUUCACUCUUUCACUAAUGUAUCUAGAAUGUAACUAGUUACCCAUAUUGAAAUUUGUGGCCUGAAUUGCUCCGUCAAUUUCAAGAAUGGUGGCAUCCAUCAUGCGAGCACCUUUUUUUGUAUGUGUAAAAUUGAAGUAUGUUUUUUAUUAUAAAUUAUUGGUGAAAUAUUAUUCUAUUUCAUAAAAAAAUUCUUCUUUUGAAUAGAAUAAAUGCAAAAUUCUUAAUUCAUGUUAUAUAUUAAUGUAAAAUAUAGGGGGCUCGAUGAUAGUUAAAAAAUUCCUAAUUAUUGUUGUUAUAACUCAUGAAAUUUGUAUAUGUACUUAACAAUAUUAUUAGAGUAUAUUUUAUAGGAAGUAUUAUAGAAAUGUAAGAAUUUUCAAUAAUUGCUCAUUUGCAGUUUUUGAAACUCAUUAGAACUAAUUUCAAUAAAACUAAUGCCUCUUUUGUUGAACAAAAGUCAUGGUAUAAGAGGCAAACAUAAAUCCUAAUUUGAAGCAAAAUAAAUGGAAAGUGGAAGAAACACUCUUUGUGAGGAAAAUAAUCAAUCCCUUACAAAUUAGAGCCCUAUAAAUCACUUUUAGAGACAAUUCUUAAAGAAAAAAUCAUUAUAUAUUUAUGUAGAUGUUACAAUAGUCUAGAUUAAUUUGCAAAGUUCACUGAACUUUUAGUAUUAUGGAUGUAAUUUUAUGGCGGUGAAAUGAGACUCAUUUUGUUUUGUGUUGUGUCAUCACAGCUUAAAUAUGUGGUCGUUAUAGCUCCGAUAUAUAUGACUCCAUGCAAUGCACAGACAAGAUAGAACAUAUAAUGUGAUUUAUUGAGUAAAAAUAUCUUUCCCAGAAUCACUAAAAUUUCACAAAAUAUAUUUGGUCCAUUCACAAGAUAUAAUGGGAUUGAGUAGCACAAUCCCCAAGGAUGAGGUUAUCUCUAAAUCACUCUCGCCUGUCUUUGAAGUCCAAUGGCCACCCACAAUCCUCAAACACCGUUGGAAUAUUCUCAAACAAUUGAAGCACCUCUCUCACAUUAUUGAACCUCUUUACUAGCACCUCCAAAUUUUCAUAGUUGGGGCCAAAAAAAAAUUCCUUUUGGUGGAGCCUUUUCCUUUCUGUAUUUUGUGAUUUAUAAGCUCUACUAUCUUAGAAAUAGAUUAUGGUCACAAAUUUUACUUAGAUUUUACUCACAAGUUUGGUAAAUACAUAAUCUCUUAAUUGAGCUCAAUAAGUGCCGUAUACCUUUACGAAGAAGAUGACAUUCAAUCUAGAGAGGGUGGAACAAUUUUAAGGGGGAUUUCGGUAGGGCGUUGUGGAGGCUAUUGCAAUGUUCUUAACAAUUAAAUAAGUCUGCUUGAUACUUGCUAGAAUUCGACGGACAUAAUAUGAAAAGAUCAUUUUCCUUUUCUUGAUCUUGCCCUAGCUUGCAUUACGUCUGCCGACUCUAUAGAUACUUCAUGUCGUGGAAAUGCCAUAUAAAUUGCUAUGUCAUUUAGCAAGAUUUUUAUAGUCAAAUCUUAAGUUCCUGUCGAUGUCAUUUAACUAGUUUUGGUAUUGCAAUCUAAUCUGUUAUUGUCGACUAUCAAUACUAGUAGUGAUUAAGGCACGUCAAAGAUGUCCUUACUCCAAAAUGGGUUUAAAUAUAUCGAGACCAACCAAGCUCCAACCAUCCUAAUUUGGAGCUUCUGAUCCCAGAUUUAUUCAACCUGAUACUCAAGAAAAACAUGAAGCUAUUCGCAUUGACCGACUCCACCGGGGGCAAUGUAUUCCAUUUAGCAGCUUACCUGAAUCAGGCCUGGGUAUUCGAAUUCUUACAACCAGAAACUAUAUAUUUGAUCCGAGCAAGGGACAUGAAUGGAGAUCUCCCCAUUCAUAUUGCGAGCAAGAUGGGUUAUGUUGAACAUAUCAAGAAGCUGAGGAAAGUAUCAAAUUUGCGAAAUGGGCAAGGGCAAACUGUUCUUCAUGUUGCCGCAAAAUAUGGGAGAGUCUCCGUAGUGAGAUAUAUACUCAGUGAUCCAGAUCUAGGGGAGCUGUUAAAUAAACAAGAUUUUGAUGGAAAUACAGCUUUGCACUUGGCUGCGAUGCAUUCACAGCCCGCUGCUUUGAUUCAUCUUGUGCGGACUAACGGAAUUCAACUCAGCAUUCUCAACAACAAAUGCUUGUUGGCUGUUGACAUUGCUGGACGACGCGUAGCAAUGGGGUAUGAUAUUCGGCAGGUAGGUAACAUGAACAGUCACUAUUUUAUUUAUUAACUUACUGGAGAUUUCGUAGACUAAUGCAUUAGUUAAGGCAGAUCUUGUAUUCAAAUCAUUAUGUCUCCCAGCCAACUAGAUAGGAGAAGUAUUGAUCAAAUCUCUAGAAUAACCAAGACUCCUCUCGGAUAAAUGUUUUGCAAGUCCCUAAUUUAGUCUUGAUAGGAGGUAAUUAAAAUUUGUGAUCAUGAAUUUCUCUGCAGUUAGAAACAAGUAACGUGUCUUUCAUAACACGGAGAUAACAAUUUAUAUAUUUCGUUUAAUUGAGCCUCUGAAUACAGUCAUGAAUAAAAAGGCAGGGUUUGUCAAGGUUGCAUUCUGUUUUUCAUAAAAAGCCAGGGGUCAAUGUGGCAAAUUUGAACGCUCCAAAUGUAACACAAUCUCAUAACAUUAUCAUUUUGUCGACCUAUGAAAUGAUUGCCCGCAUAGAUUCCAUUCAUGCCUCUUUUUUCGUCUAAAACGAACUUGGCAAUUUUGUGCUAAUUCUUCAAAAAGAGCAGAAACUGCAUCUUUAGAAGCAAACGUUUCCAGAGUUCAUUCCCGUUAUAAAUAUGGUAUAAGUUUGUUCUUAUUUUCCUUUUUACAUGCUUCCGAUCUCAGCACUUGGCAUACCUGGCGUUGCUUUGCUCGCUCGCGGAAGAAGGUCCACUUGAAAACCAAGAGUUACUCCUAGUUAGAGCGGAAGCUCGAGAUGAAGAGUUAUCAGUAGUCCGCUCGCGCAAAAGCAUGCCGAGAAGGGACAUCAUCAAGGAUCACAUCAAUUCCCGUAUGGUGGUGGCAACGCUUGUGGCCACAGUGACUUUCGCAGUUGGUUUUGCAGUUCCUGGAGGAUUUAACAGCUCAGACACAGCCUCCAAAGAUGACCGGGGCAUGGCUAUGAUGCUGGACACAGAAUGUUCCAGGCUUUCGCGAUUUGCAACACCAUCGCGAUGUUCUGCUCAAUGACUGUGGUCGUCAACCUCAUCUGGGCGCAGGUAGUUGAUGUCAACGUUGCAGUCGCUGCAUUUCAGCGCACAACGCUACCGCUACAAAUUGCACUCCCGGCGAUGUCCACCGCUUUCUUAACUGGUGUCACCUUGACCAUUGGCAAACUCCCGUGGCUUGCUAACACCAUAUUUUAUUUGGGACUCGUUUUCCUCCUCAUUAUCUCAUUUGCUAACUUGUUCGGGGAGCCUUUCUUCUUUAAAAUCCUCGGUCAUCCUCUCCGUCGACUAACAUUCUGGCUUAUUCUCGCUUGCAUUUAUUUGUGGAGAGUUGAGACGUACAUUUAUGAUGACAAUGACGCGGAAGAUAACAGAAGGAGAAGAAGACCUUCGCUAGUCCGCCUGUGGAUGUUGCCGGUGAAACGAGGACCGAUGACUCGGCGAAAGCAAAAUGUGAGGAUGCGUUACAUCCUCCAAGUCACUGAUUUGAAUUGAUCAUUCCAUAUUAUCUGUAAUAUGUAGUAGUAAUAUAUGUUUUCCUUGGUGAGUGUGACUCACUCUACGGUUGCUUUCCUUUAUGUCAGAUCAAAGGUGAUUGUUAAUGUAUGUAAGCUAAACCACGUGUUCCUCUAAUAACUUAACUUAUUAGAAUUGUUGGAUAUAAUUCCAUCAAAUUUCAUAUGUUAUUAAAGCAGAGGUUCUAAGUUCAAACAUUUUCAGGUCCUAUUUGCUUCAUCUAUUAUAUGUUCUCAUGUUUCAAUAUUAGAUCAAUUCAAGUUUAUGAGUGAAGAUGAGUAUAAAAGUAUUUGUAUUAAAGUAUUUGAAUUAAACAUCGCAUCCGUCUAAUAAUUUACAUUUUUAGAAUAAUUAAUUGUAGUUCCCGAAAUUUCAAAGUGAUACACACUUCAUGUAAAUUAAAUGGAUGAAUGGCUCAUUUCACCCGUUUCAUUGCCUUGGAAUCAAAUUGUUAACUUUGAACAUGUGGAAGCUCGUGGGUCAAUGAAAUCACUCGUCUAGAGUGGCAAUGUCCGAUUUACUUUGAACCAGUCCAAUUUGCGGCACUCUCGAGUCACGAAAUCUUACCUGUCUGGUGUGCAAAGAAAAUAAUUCUCAAAUUCUCAUCGCCUACUCUCUGAGUCGAGAGUUGGGUGAAGAAAACCGGAACAAAAUAAUUCUCUUCACUACUCACAAAAAAAAAAAAAUAGAAUCGAACCCCGAACUCAUUUCCAUUUACACCCCUUUCAUUUCCCCACUUCUCCCUCCUAGGCGACCAAUUUCUGUGCAUGCAAAUGAGUUUUGGUCUUUGAUUCGUGCCGAGGUAUAAUCUAGUGAGCAGCGGGCACAGAAGUCUAGUCAAGGGACGAGAUAAAAAGGAAUUGCAGUACGCAACUCAAGGAGAAUUGUGGAAAAGUUUGGAUAUGUGAUUUUCCUCCUCCGAUCUCUGAUUUUUAUUUCAAAGCCGGUUGGUAUUGACACGUAGAAUAUAACUCUAAAGUGAUUCUGGACCUAUUUAUUUUGAAAGUAGAUAAUUACAAAAAAUGAAAAGGAUCCCAUUGUACAAAUAAUCGAUUUAAUUUUAAACAUCUUGACGAUUUGCCAGUAUAGUCAUUCUGACCAAUUAUGACCGAAAAUCAUUGACGUAGAUGCUAGCCAUCCUAUCGCACAUGACCAGUAUUGAGGUGGACAAUUUUUGUAAUUUAAAACAAAAUUCUCAUUUUUUUUUCUUUUUUUCAUGUUUUCAUUUUCUUCAUUUUCCUUUCUUAUAUUUUCCUUUUUAUUUUUUUCUUAUUCCCCUUCGCCAGCCAUUGGCCGGUCCAUGGCUUCGGUGAUUGAUAGUAAGGGCCCAAUGCCCUCGCCAGCGAUUGCAAGGGCUGAUGGAUUUGCUGGGGCCACAGACUAAUGGAGGGACAAAGGAAGAAAAAAAAAGAAUGACAGAAAAGAAACUAAAAAAAGGAAAAAAAAAAGUUUUGAAAUAAUUGCAAAAAUUAUCCACAUUAACAUCCGCGCCCAGAUCGGCGAGGCCAAUCUUGUCAUGGGCUGGCCUAGAUCUGGGUGAAGCCGCCUCGCGUGCGGCUCCGAGGCCUCACUUGUGGCCAAAAGAAUGAAGAAGAGAAAAAAAAUAAAAGGAAAAAUAAAGAAAAUUAUUAAAAAAUUAUUAAAAAAUUAUUAAAAAUUGCCACGUUAGCAUUGACCGAAUGACUAUCGUCCACAUCAACGCUAGCCGACCAAAAUUGGCCGAAUAGAUUGAAUUAACACAAUCACGAAAAGUUUAUAACUGAAUUAGCACAAUUGUUAUGAAUUUACGACUUUUUUGGUAAUUCUCCCAAUUUAUUUGUUAUCUCCAUUUUUAGAUUGUGACAUGUGUCCAUUCAAUUUUAGUCCUCACUGCACUUCAUCUAAAUACCAUCAAACCUUAGCAGCGAGGAUGGUAAUUGGAGAUCUAUGCAAAUAUUUAUAUAUAAAAAUUACAUUGAGAUAGUAAAGUGUGCUCACCAUCAUCAUAUCAUCAUCCAUCAAGUCGAUUCCACAUAAUGAUCUAUUUGUCACUUUCAACAUCCUGGGGGCUUAAAUGUUUCAAUUAAAUAAGGUAGGAUGAGAAGUAUUUUUCAUAAAGAACGGACAUUCAAGAAGUCUUGCUAGAUUGAUAGAUUGAUGUUGCAAAUGGUUCUCUUCUCAAGUAGCAUGAAAAAUUAUGCUACUUAAAUGUAGAGCCUCCUUUUUUCUAUUUUUUUUGGCAGAUCUUCCAAAUCAAAUUACAAGGUUACGACUAUGAAAACUCAUAGUACAAGUACAAAAAAUACCAAAUCAAUCAUCUAUUGACUUCUCGAUUCUCAUUAAAUCUGAUUCACAAAAUAGGUUGGGACCCAUUUUGCUAGCCCUACUAAAAUCUAAACAUUUUAAUAAAUUAAGGAUUUAUACGGCAUCCUAGUUCACAAAGAUGUGCCGUUGCUGUUGACAAAUCGACAGUGAUUGAUUUUCAUGAACUCGUCGUCAUAUUGUCGACAUUCCCAUUAUAUAUGAACAUAAGAGAGAACUUUGAUUUUUGAGCAUCAAGAGAUAAGAUUGACUUAAAUAGAAUGCCAAAUAGCCCAAGUGUCACAAUUAGAUAAUUCCAAACCCCAAACACUUUUUUUUUAACCCCAAACACAUUCAACUAUGGUUUUUUUUUCCUUAUAACUUUCUUCACAUAAUAUAAGAAUGUACUUUAUGGUUAAUGAUCAUAUAUAUCGCGGUUUAUGAAAGACUAUGCCACAUCAAUAGUUUUAGAUGUUAGUCCAAAUUCGAAAUACCGGGCCAACGUUUGAGAUUUGAUUGGCCAUUCGGCAUUUCAUUUAUUACUCAUGAAGUCUAUCAUUGCAUGAAAUUUACUGAAAAUUAGAGAAUCUCACAAUACCAACAAAACAUCAAGUUUAUUCAGCUUUUUUACCCUUGAUACACUCCACAUGUAGCCCAAUUUACAAAAUUCCACGAAAACUACUGCUCAGCAAAGACGAACAACAGCACCCAUCGGCCCAACAUGCUUAACUCCAAGCAUAGAGUGACUCGAACUCUUCUUGUCUCCUUUCAGUUUACCACAACCAGACAUAUUUAAUAAAGUACCGUGAACAAGACAAGAUAGCGAUGAGAUCUACUCAAUAGGCAUAGGGUUUGCCAAGAGAUAAGCCUCGAUGGCCUUGAACAUCGCGGACGCCUUCUCUUUCCCGGCCUUGAUCUUCUCCUCAGUGAUGUCCACCUCACCGAUGGUGAAGUACUUGCUCGUGUUCUUGCACACCGAGCCUCCCUCGGGCGAUGCGGUGAUCUUCACCUCGUAGCUGAUCUUCUCGAAGGUGGUGCCCAGCACAUCGCCCUCGAUGAUCGAGUAGCUGUAGGUGAAGUUCUCCUUGUCCAGGGCCUCGACCUUGUGCUUCAUUGUCUGGUACUGACUGCCUAUCAAAGUAAGAAAAAAGUAAUAUUCACGUUUAGAACUCGCCGGUUUCAACAUCACAAGCAACGAUCUUGAUGGUGUCCAUUGGGCCAUUUUGGUUGUUCCAAUUGCAAUCUGAUACGAUUGACUUAGACAUGGCCUGAUUUCGCUCGAUUGGAAUCGAGUCAUGUGAUCACUUGUGUAAAUCAAUGGUUAGAAAUUUUUUUAAUUAACCAAGUUACAUAUCUAUCUUUUUCAAUGUUCAUUAUGAUGUUCCAUAAGGUUGAAACAGCCUUGAUCCAGAGCGAUCCUAACACGGACGGACUAACCUUCGCCGAAAGUGAUCAACUUGAUGGUCCCGGGACCUCCGUUGCCCUCGAGGACUUCGACGCUCUUGAUGGCUUGCGGGAGCACCUUGGGGAUGAGGUUAUCAGCAUCGAGGACAGCGGCCUUGAACAUCUUGGCCGGAGGGAUUGGGGUCGUGACCUCGGAGUCGUAACUGACGACACCCAUGAUUUGGAUCCGAAUGGAGUUGCCGAAAUAGAGAAGAGGGUGAUCAGGAAAGGCUGAUUAGCAGUGAUGAAGUUGGUCUCUAGGACUCGGUAGUGAAGAGAAGAGGAUGAACCAAAGCUGACAUAUAUAGAGAGACCGAGUUUGAAGGGUUCUCGUUAUUGGAUAUUUUCUUCAAGUGUGUUCGUUUGGUACAAAAUAGAGAAGAGGAUGAACCGAAGCUGACAUAUAUAGAGAGACCGAGUCUGAAGGGUUCUCAUCAUUGGAUAUUUUCUUCAAGUGUGUUUGUUUGGUACAAAAUAAAUAAUUAAAUAACUAUUUGUAUCAUUUGGUAUAAUUAUUUGAUGAGAAAUUUUUGCAUUAUUGACAGUAAUUUAUAUCUAAAUAUUCCCGUGAAUGAUGAAAAUAUUUUUUAUUCAUUCCUUUUAUAAGUUAUAUGAAAAAAAAUAUUUUUUUACAAAACAAACGAAGCUUAAUAAAAAAAAUCUUAAUCAGUCUGUGGGUUGUUCAAUCAUGCCAUGGACUUUGUUCAUAAAAUAAAAUUUGUCUAUAUGAUAAUGGAAUAUUAGUCAGAGAAGGCACCAUCCUAGAAUGAUACCAAACGUUCUUCCAUUUCCCUUUCAUGUAUAGACUUGACUUUUGAUCCAGGAGCAUUUGCUCAGCAAACUCUCUUGGCUGAGCUUCACUGAUUUCUUACAUAGUGUUACUAUCAUAGAAAAUAUCAAGCCCUUAGCUGCAUAGGUCGCGAUCCACCCAGAUCUCAUCCUACUUCUUUUCAAUCCGUUCGGUAGAGGCCUCGGGAAGAAUUAUCAUCAAUUUCAUACUCAUAAAUAAUAUUCGCUUAACUCUGUGCAGUAGAAAAACUCGAAAAAUCGAGGCACAAUUUUUCCUGCUGGGUGAUCUCGGUGCUUCAUGUUUCUGUUGAGCUUCCAUCGAUAAGAAAAAGUACAGAUUGAUCUCAAUGUUGCACUAAUCCAAUUUAGCAGAAAAAAAUGGGAAAGGUAGUUUGGUAAUUACAAGGCUUUGUUACUUUUAGUCAACAAAGGCUGCUCUGAAAAUCAAGAUGGACGUCUAUAGAUUUUGAAUUUUUCUACUUGCUUUCAUGUGUCUAGUCCUUUUAAAUAAUAUUAUUGCGAACCAUUUUCUGCUAAUUGUCUGGUGGAAGUGUGGUGGAUCAAGCGAGAUUGGCUCACGGGUCACUUGCUCAUUAAACAUUUUUUUAAUUUUCCUUUUUAUCUAACGGUAUAGCGACGUAGAUUUUUAGAAACGCUUUCUUCGUAUUUAAUUUUCUUCUUUUGUCUAGUUCAUCUUGUCGUAGUCACGGACCAUGUGAACGUAUAGGAGAAUGUCCAUGGGUGUUAGAUCAGAUUAAUUAAUGAAUUUCGUCGUAUUGAGACAAAAUUGAUUAAACUUGUCAAUCAUCUCACUGCGACGGAAGAUUCGGAAAAUAUUAAUGCAUAACAACAGCAUAUGUUUUGGGAGAAAAGUAUUGGAGAGGGGCAUGGAUGCAUUGCUGAAGUUAUUUGAUGAGCAUGUCAUAUGUACUAAAUUAAUCUAAAUAGCUAAAUUUGAUGGAAUUCAUAUGAAACCUAAAUGGAACAUAUAGAAAUUAAAAGCCGAAUUUUGCUUUAUAUAAAUACGACGCUAGCUCAUUCUCGAGUCUUUGUCAAAAUUGUGUUGUAGGCAAUUGAAUGUGAACCUCCCUUCCCUUUCACAUAUGAUCGACUCAAAUUUCUCGUACUUCAUUGACUUCCUUGUUUCGCUGUUGAAGCAACAAAAUCACAGCAAUUGAAGUCACCAGAAGUAGCUCGCAUCAAUAAGGACCUUUUCCCUAUGGUCGGUCGAUUUACUGUUCAUCCCACCCCACAAGGAGAUAACCUCGUCACAUUUUCACACAAGCCUGGAUUUGCGAUAAAAGCGCUUUUUGGUGCUUAUUGGAAGAGGCGACCACUAGGAACCGCACCUGUCAGCUCGUUGUACAAUAAGUCUACGGAGCUUAAACAAGUUAUAUGUCCAUUUUUUUCAAUGUUCAUUAUAAUGUUCCGUAAGGUUAAAACCACCUUGAUCGAGAGCGAUCCUAAGUUCCUAAUAUGGAUGGACUAACCUUUGCCGAAAGUGAUCAAAUUGGUGGUCCCGGGACCUUCAUCGCCCUCGAGGACUUCGACGCUCUUGAUGGCUUGCAGGAGGACCCUAGGGAUGAGGUUAUCGGCGUCGAGGACAGUGGCCUUGAACAUCUUGGCCGGAGGGAUCUGGACGUUAUCGCAGAGUCGUAAGUGAUGACACCCAUGAUUGGAUCCGAACUGAGAAACUGAGAAGGGGGUGAUGAUCAGGAAAGACUGAGUAGCAAUGAUGAAGUCGGUCUCUAGGACUUGGGAAUGAAGAGAACAGGCUGAACCGAAACUGAUAUAUAGAGAGAGACUAAGUGUGAAGGGCUUUGAUCAGUGAAUAUCUUGCGAAACAAACAAAGCUUAAGAAAAAAAAAUUAUUCCGUGGAUUAUUCAGAGUAUGACAUGCCCCUUGUUCCUAAUAUAAAAAUGUCUAUAUGAUGAUAGAACAAAGCGUUGGACGAUCAUAUUGGGGAGAAUCGGGCAACAAUUUACUAAUAACGAAACACAAUUUAGCAUCAAUUUCUCCUCUAAAACUAAACCAACCGAAACCAACUCAACCCCAGCAACCACCAGCAAUAUGUAAUACCAAAAUGACAAUAAGACAGAGCCAACAAUGACACUAAGGUUUUAACAUGGAAACCAAUACAUAAAAAAUCACAUACCCUACUCACUAACAGUAAUAGGAUACAAAAAGUGUUAUUUUAUAAUCACACAUUAGAGACUCAACAUCAAUGAUAUAACCAUAUUUCCUCACUCCAAAGAUAGAUUAACAUAAACGGAGCAAGAAAACCCUAAUCGGUUGGAGAAUCUGGAGGGGGUUCUUAUCUAACGAAAUCAAUCAAUUUGUAGUCCUUGAUUUUACAAAAUAACAUUCAAAUUUGAGCAAAUUCCAUCGGCAUCUUGCAUUCCAAUCGGGACCAAAAAGAUUAUGCCCUUUCUUUCGGAACGCUAAGAAAGAAGAGCCCAGACACAGACAACAAUUACCUACUCACUAAGUGUAACAUUAGGCUAGUGGGCCCCAAAAGAAGAAAUAGAAAACGAAGUUUUAAAGGCCCCAAAGAAGAAACUGAAAAAGAAACCGAAAAGUCAUUAAAGCAAAAAGGAGAUGGGAGAGGGCUCGGCUAAAUAGAAGCUGAGAGUUUCCUCGACCAAAAAGAAAAGAAAGAAAAGAAGAAGAAGAAGAAGAGAAAAGGGAAGAAAGGAAAGAAGUUUUGGCACGUGCACGCCUCGGAUGCCUUGCCAAGCCAAUUUGACUCCAUAACCCGGUAAGAGAUCAAGCCCCUCGUUUGUCCGAUUGAAGUAAUUUUUGGAUUUAGGACUCAAAUUCGGAAUUUUUGGAAAAUCGAGCGGCGAAGUCUAAUUUUGGAGUCGUUGAGCCACACAUUUUUGUAAGAAUGGUAAUUUAGGGUGUUGUGGAACCGUGGGAUUUUUCGGAUCGUGAUUUGAGCUUAUGGUUUGUCCAAAACAAAAUUCCAAAGUUUCCCGCGCGCAGUGAACAGUACGCGUCCAGCAGCUUUGGGCCCGUAUUUUGUCAUUUUUUCGGCUUGAUUUUGGGAUGACCAAUUUGGGAUUCUUGUAAUAUGUGUCAAGGGCUCUCUAUUGACUAUAAGUACGUUCGGAUCGGGGUUCGGAAGAGAAAGUUAAGGCUCGAUCAAGUUUUGCGCUUAAACUUCAUGUUGCGAAUGGCUUAAACAAUCAAUUUGGAUAUGCGACUUGUUAGUGCACAGAAGUCCUUUUGUUAGAGUUAAGGCGUAACUUAGUCAUUUUGUAGUCGAGAUAGAAUUUUAUUAGAUUUUAACAUUAUUCUUCGAUUAUUUGAUAGGGCUUUGAGUUCGAAGAUACAAGUAUCAUUUGUCGUUUGGUCGUAGACGAUAAGGUGAGUGGUACUAUAUCUUCUUUGGUUUUAUAAAAUCAUGUCUUGAAGUAUGUAUGUAUAUAUAUUGAAUCAAGAAGAGCAUUUUUAUUGCAUAAAAGUCAGAUCGAGCAAUUGCUACCCUUUGGUUGAUUGUGAAUCUUUGAAAAGCACAUUAUACAAGGUUUGUGGAGAAACAUAUAUGAAAUUGCUUUGCGACUGAUUUAUGAAAAGGUUUAUGAUGAUUUGAGAAACGAGUAUGAAAUGGAUGAUGGGCUAUGUUGCAAAAUAUUAUUUGUUUGGUUUAAGAUAUUGAUUUUUGGAUUGAAUUUCUGGUAUUGGAGAAUGGUUAUUUAUGCUCAAUAUGACUGUGAACCCAGUGAGGGGUUUUUGGGGUAUGCAUACCAGGUUUAGGAUAUCCUUCUGGGCCGAGCCACCGGCUUUGUAGGUGGAGACCUUGCCAAGGGGAGAAUCUUGGUCGCCUUGUCACAGGACGUUGUGUCGUGACCAUGGUUAGUUAUUGAGCAAAAGAUUGAUCAAUGGAUAGACCAUUGAUACUUGAAUUUUGAUGGCGAUUCAAAUGAGUUUUCCAUAUUACUAUAAAUCUUGAUGAUAAGAAAUAACUCAUAAGAUUCAAUACUUAUUUUAUAUAUUGAGUUGGCUUAUGAAAUUUGGUAUUGUUUUGUAUACAUGCAUAGUGGUUGUUCGAUCUGCUUAAAAGAUAUGUACUACUCACUGAGCUGUGGUUGCUCAUCCCAUUCCUCAUUUGAUCUUUUCAGGUUCCUCAGCUAGUGGCAAAUAGAGCGAGUGCGCCGUCGUGGGAAACUUUUGGGGAGUUCUAUUUUGUUUUUGGUAUGGUUUAGGGAAGUGGUGCAAAUGAUCUUUACUAGUGGUUGAAUCGUCUAAGUUUUGAAGUAUAUAUUUUCUCUUUUUGGUGGAUUAUAGAAAUUCUAAUGUUGCAACCAAUUUGAAGGUUUAUCUGAUAUUUAUACUUGUAACAUCCUGGACCCCACUGUGUAAUAUUGUCCGCUUUGGGUCACCCGCCCUGGCACGGACGAACCGCCAUCCCAGCCGCGAUCUUUUCCCUCACGGCUUUAAAACGCGUUACACAGGUUAGAGGGAUCCAAGCCUUAUAAGCUGACCAAUAUCUCCCUCCCUAGGCGAUGUAGGACAAGAGAGGAGGCUGUCACACUCUCCACCUCUUAACAGAAUAGCGUCCUCGCUAUGGCCCCACGGGUAUCAGAACAACAUUCAAGCUGUGGUCCCACACGCGGUCGGGAGUCGGCUCUGAUACCACUUGUAACAUCCCGGGCCCCAUUGUGUAAUAUUGUCCGCUUUGGGUCACCCACCCUGGCGUGGACAAACCGUCAUCCUAGCCACGGUCUUUUCCCUCACGGUUUUAAAACGCGUUACAUAGGUUAGAGGGACCCAAGCCUUAUAAGCUGACCAAUAUCUUCCUCCCUAGGCGAUGUAGGACAAGAGAGGAAGCUGUCACAUAUAUAAGUUAAUAUCAGUUUGUAGGUUAUGUUUGAGGCUGCGUCCUUUGUAAAGAAGGAUGGCCGUGUCAUCCCCAUUCUUUGUAGUUUUUGGGGUGUGACACUAAGUUCCGAAAAGCAUAGACGAGCGAAAUGCCUCACGAAUUAACCUAAGAGCAACAUAAACACGCCGAGAUAGAAAACGGUAGAAGCCGACGCCUCAAAUUGCAAACUUCUUCGACCCAAAAAAAAAAAAUAUUGCAAACUUCGAGCUACAAAAUGGCGAUUAAGCACGGAGGGCCGGAGAUGGGGUGGAGGGAGCACCUUGAUGUCGAAAUCGACGCCGGCGGUGGCGAGGAGGGGAGAGGGGGUGGAAAUCUAGGGUUAGGACAGGUUUGGUCUCGUGCCAAUUCAUCUGGACCGUGCCUCCCUUCAUAUCUCCUCUGCCCGCUCCGCCGCUUCCUUCCUUCCCCCUCUCUCUCUGAAAUCGAAGCCUUCUUCCUUGAUUUCUUAGCGAACGAAAUCGAUCAAUUCGUGGAAUUCGUGAGAUUCGUGCGCUCUCCCCAUUCCGCGGAGAGAUUCCCGACAAAUAGAGAUUAGAUUGUAGGCUUGUCCAUCGUCGUUUCAGUAAAGCGAGUGUAAUGCCAAAAAAGGGAAAUAAGGACGACACAAUUGGCUCUGACAUUGAAUUGACAGUUUAUUCCUGGCCUCCUACGUGAGCAUAUCACGUGGCCCACCCAUCAUGGCUCAAAUUCAUGAAAACAAACUAAUAAAAAAAAGAUCCAAAAUAGACUCCACCACCAUCCUCUCGGAAAUCCAAUCAAAAAAAGGAAAAGAUAAAAAAGGCAAAUCAUCCCAGACAAAACAAGCAUGGCAUUCGCCACACGCUACUAAAAAUUAACCACACACAGAUUCACAAGUCUCAGGGUUCGCGAGGCAAGCCUCGAUGGCCCCAAACAUAGUGAAAGCCUUCUCUCUCACGGCCUUGAUCUUCUCCUCGGUGUUGUCCACGUUGCCCCUGGCGAAGUAUUUGCUAUCGUUCAUGCACACCGUGUUAGACAAUUCAUAUAAAACUUGAUGCGGAAAUUCAUAACAAAUCAUUGAUCUUUGAUCUUCAUGAUUUUCACAAAUAGAUUCAGACAAACCUUUAUCCAUAGCGCUACGCUUGAUGAUGAUCGUUGUAGAAAACCCAAUGAUCUCGAACCAAAAGGAGAAAUCCGAUUUCUCUCCCUUAACCCACUAAACCUUAAUGUAUUCAAUUGAUGGAGGAGAGAAUAUGUUCUUUUCAGUUAUUGUUGUUCGUAUGUGGGUGGAGAGAGGACCGGACUCUUUUAUACGUUCGUUGAAAAUGUGCCUUCCAUCAAAGCGAUAUACCCUUUCGUUUUAUUAGAGUCGUACCUUCUCAUAACCAAUAUUAUUUAUAGCAUUUCAAUCAUUAUUAAACCAUAUAAUAAAUCACAUAAUAUGGGCCACAAUAAUUCUUACAUUCUCCCACUUGGCCCAUAUGAUUCUCCUUUCAUGGUUUAAUGAAGACUAUAAUGUGCACAAUAAGAUUAUGCUAUAAAAUUUCAUUAAAUUGGCAAUCACAUAAUAAUCACAAUUAAGUAAAGAAAACUAAUGCGAGUCAUAGCGGUUAUAUGUCAUUAAUCGACAUAGUCCCUUCUAUGUACUACAACUAUAGCACUUUACUUAACAUGAUCCAUAAAUGAGAAGUACAGUAAUAGUCCAACCAUAAUGUUUCUUUAGAAACUAUCCUGUUUAAAAUUAAUCUAUUUCCAUAAUGUAUACUAAAUAGAAAACAGGAAAUAUCAUAAACAUGUAAGUGAGCUCAAAGUGUCAAAUACAUAAACUUAAUACAAUCAUAAUACAAACAUUAAUGACGUCCAAUAAUGCCCAUCCUUUCAACAUGCUCAUUAAAUGUUUUGGGCGGCAAUCCUUUUGUUAAGGGAUCUGCUAUCAUAAGAUUGGUGCUAAUGUGCUCAAUUGACACUCUUUGUUUCUGAACUUCUUUUUUGACAGACAAGUAUUUGAUCUCCAUAUGCUUAACACCCUUAGAAUACUUGUCGUUCUUAGAGAAGAAAACUGCUGCAGAGUUAUCACAAUAGAUUUUCAGCGGCUUGGCAAUACUGUCGACGAUCACAAGCCCUGAAAUAAAAUUCCGCAGCCAUAAUCCAUGAAUUGUGGCCUCAAAGCAUGCCACAAAUUCAGCUUCCAUAGUGGAUGCAGCAAUAACUGACUGCUUCGCACUCUUCCAUGAAAUUGCCCCUCCAGCCAGAAGAAACAAGUAACCAAAUGUUGAUUUUCUUGUAUCGACACAUCCGGCUAAGUCUGAAUCUGAAUAUCCAAUCACCUCGAGAUGAUCAGAUCUUUUAUAAGUGAGCAUAUGAUUCUUUGUUCCUUGCAAGUAUCUAAGAACUUUCUUUGCGGCUUUCCAAUGAUCCAUUCCAGGAUUACUUUGAUACCUACCUAGCAUUCCGACAGCAAAAUUGAUGUCUGGUCUGGUGCAAGUUUGUGCAUACAUUAAGCUUCCCACAAUAGAUGCAUAAGGAAUAUUAUUCAUUUGUCCUCGUUCCAAUUCACUUUUCAGACAUUGCAUAAGGCUAAAUUUAUCACCUUUCUGAAUUGGAACUAUUCCUGCUGAACAUUUACUCAUAUUAAAUCUCUCUAAAAUUUUCUCAAUGUAGGCUUUCUGAGACAAUCCUAAUAAUCCUUGUGAUCUAUCACGGAAUAUUUCUAUUCCUAUCACAUAUGUUGCCUCUCCCAUAUCCUUCAUUUCAAAAUUCUUAGAGAGAAAUUUCUUGGUUUCAUGUAACAAACCAAGAUCAUUAGCAGCAAGCAAAAUAUCAUCAACAUACAGAACUAGAAAAAAAAAACUUGCUCCCACUAAUCUUCAUAUAUAUACACCGAUCAACGGUGUUUUCCUUAAAUCCAAAUGAAGUUAUGGUAUCGUUAAACUUAAGAUACCAUUGUCGAGAAGCUUGUUUAAGUCCAUAUAUUGACUUCUUUAAUUUACAUACCAUGUGUUCCUUUCCUAUAACUGAAAAGCCUUCGGGUUGGUCCAUAUAAACCUCUUCCUCUAAAUUCCCAUUAAGAAAUGCGGUUUUUACAUCCAUUUGGUGUAACUCCAAGUCAUAAUGAGCCACCAAAGCCAUAAUGAUUCUAAGUGAGUCUUUCUUAGAGACCGGUGAAAAUGUCUCUUUAUAGUCAAUGCCUUCUUUCUGAGUAAAACCAUUUGCAACAAGUCUGGCUUUAUGUCGUUCAAUAUUGCCUUUUGAGUCGCGCUUGGUCUUAAAGACCCAUUUACACCCGACCUUCUUACAUCCUUUAGGCAAUUCAACAAUAUCCCAAACUUGAUUUUCAUGCAUGGAUUUUAACUCUUCUUCCAUGGCAUUAAACCAUUCAUUAGAAUCUUCACAUUCCAUGGCUUGGGAAAAUGAAUCUGGAUCAUUUCCAAUUCCUAAGUCAAUUUCUGACUCUUGUAGAUAAACCAUAUAGUCAUCAGAAAUAGCCGACCUCUUUUCUCUUUGAGAUCUCCUUAAUGCUAUUUCUUGUGACUCGGUUAUUGGAGGUUCAUUAUUGACAUCUCCAUUAUUUGGUGUUUGUUGUUCUCGAUUAUUGUUAGAUUGUACUACAAUAUCAGAAACAACAACUUUAGAAGCUUUAGGCAUAGGAACUUCUACCCUUACUUCUUGAAUGCAAGCAUCACGCAUUCUUUCACUCCCACUGAUGUCACCAUUCUCAAUGAACCUAGUAUUUCCAGAUUCAACAAUUCUUGUACUAUGAUUAGGACAAUGAAAUUUAUACCCUUUGGAUUUCUCUGCAUAACCAAUGAAAUAACCACUGGUCGUUCUUGAAUCCAAUUUCCUUUCAUGUAUUGUAAAUUCUUACUUCUGCUUGACAACCCCAAACAUGCAGGUGUCGUAAACUAGGUUUCCUUCCCGUCCACAAUUCAAAUAGAGUCUUUGGAACUGCCUUACUAGGAACCCUAUUUAAUAAGUACAUAGAAGUCUUUAAAGCAUACAUCCACAAAGAUAAGGGUAAAGAUGAAUGACUUAUCAUACUCCUAACCAUUUCCAUUAAAGUACGAUUACGCCUUUCUGCUACACCAUUUUGUUGUGGUGUACCUGGCAUUGUGUAUUGAGCACAUAUGCCAUGUCUUUCAAGGAAUUUAGCAAAUGGACCUGGACAUUGUUCCGAUUCAUCAUACUUUCCAUAAUAUUCACCACCUCUAUCCGAUCUUAUUAUUUUCACAUUUCUAUCUAAUUGCCUCUCAACCUCUUUAAUAUACACUUCAAGUACAUUUAAUGAUUGAGACUUAUCAUGCAAUAGAUAAAUGUAACCAUAACGUGAAAAAUCAUCAAUAAAGGUUAUGAAAUAGCUUUCCUUACUAAAAGAUGGAACAUCGAAAGGACCACAUAUGUCAGUAUGUAUAAUCUCAAGAAGCUAUGUGCUUCUUGUGGCACAUUUCUUAGUGUGCUUUGUUUGUUUACCUUUAAUACAAUCAAUACACACUCUAAAGUCAGUAAAAUCCAAAUUUGGAAUAAUUUCAUUCUUCACUAAUCUUUGCAUUCUUUCUUUGGAUAUAUGACCCAACCGUUUAUGCCACAAGUAAGCAGAAUUUUCAUUCACCAAACUUCGUUUAGUGCCAACAUUAUGAUGCAAGGUCAUUAAUGUCUCAACAAAAGUAUUAUCAAGUCUAAAUUUGUAGAGACCAUCACAUAAAGUUCCAGUUCCAAUAAGAGCAUCACUCUUAAAUAGACUGAAAGAUUCAGAUCCAAACUUACAAUAAAAUCCCGCCACAUCAAGUCUUGGCAAAGAAACUAAAUUGCGAGAAAAUGUAGGUACAUAAAGGGUUCGAAAAAAAUCCAAAUAAUGCCCAGUAUCUAAUAUCAAACGAUAAGUGCCAAUGCCUUCAACUGGAGCUUUGUCUCUGUUCCCCGUAAUCACAUAACUUUCAUUUGGAAAAUGUAGGUACAUAAAGGGUUCGAAAAAAAUCCAAAUAAUGCCCAGUAUCUAAUAUCAAACGAUAAGUGCCAAUGCCUUCAACUGGAGCUUUGUCUCUGUUCCCCGUAAUCACAUAACUUUCAUUUGGCUUUAUAGUUUGGAUCUUAAGAAAUCCCUGCAUCGUAUUUGACACAUGAGUGGUGGCACCAGAAUCAAUCCACCAAGUAUUAUAAGGAACUUCAGUAAAAUUUGAUUCAAAACAUACUAAAGCACAAGGCUUACCUUUCUUUUCGAACCAAGCCUUACAUUUCAGACAAUCUUUCUUCAAGUGUCCAAUUUUGUUGCAAAAAUGACAUUUAAUAAGAUUGUGUUCCUUCUUGUGGAUUUGAGAAGCCUUUGAAGAGUCAUUCAGGACGUGUAGUCCUUUCUUCUUGCUCCUUCCACCUUUCCUCUUAAAAUUCUUUCGAACUUCUUGAUGACUUGAGAGAUGAAUAGAAUGAGCAUUUUGAUUCUUUAUCCUUAUUUCCUCUUGAACUAGCAUACUGGCCAAUUCGUUUACAUUCCACUUAUCCUUUAUAGUGUUGUAAUUCAUUUGAAAUGGCACAUAUUGCUCAUGAGGUAAGGAAUUAAGUAUAAAUUGUACUAAAAAGUACUCAUCCAUAUUCAUUCCCAAAGUCCUUAACUUUGCUGCUAAAUUGGUCAUCUCAAGUAUAUGCUCAUGCAUGGUACGCGAACCAUCAUAUUUCAUGGUGGUCAGUGUGCUCAUCAGUGUACCAGCAAGUGACUUAUCAGCAGUUUGAGAACGCUCUUCCACAAAUUUCAUAAAUUCCUUAGCAUUGUUAGUCUUGGGAAGAGAAGUUUUUAAGUUGUUUGCAACUGUCAUUCGCAUGAACAUUAAGCUCAGUCUGUUCGAUCUUUCCCAAGCUUUAUGGAAAGACUUUUCAUCAUUGCUACUUUCAUCAGUAAUAGCAGCUGGUUUCUCAGCUUGAAGUGCUAAAUCAAGAUCCAGGACACCUAAGUGAAACUGGACUUGUUCACUCCAAUCAGGAAAAUUUAUCCCAUUGAAUAAGGGAACAGAUGAGGCGUGCGAAUGGAGUGAAACAGGUACAGAUACUACAAAUGUGCAAGAAAAUACUCAUACAUUAAUGCUUUGAGAAUAUCAUAUAAUCAGAUUAAACUAAACUACACAUGCACAUCAUAGUUCUCCUUUGAGCGAUCCUAUGAUAUACAAAUAUAUAUAAACCAUAAUGAUGCUAAUAACUUUUAUUUGAUAAUUGUAAAUAUAUCUUAUUAAAAUUUAUUUGUUAUCUUUGGAUAUACAAACAAAUUUAACAAAUCAUAUUAAUUAUCAACCAUCAUGUUCAUGGAUUAUAAGAAAAUAAUUAACCUUUGGGUUAAUCCCUAAGUUCUUAUAAUAAAUGAACUUCAAUAUACCCAUAACUCCAAUAAUGAUAUAAAACAUAUCAAUUUCAUAUAUAUAGCAUCAAUUAAUCAUGGGUAAUUGAAUAAAAUAAUUUACGAUAUUAAAAAAAUUCAAAAGACUUCAAGGUUCGGCCACUUUGGUGACUAACAAACCUUUCAUAAUAUGAAUUUUUAAUAUUGCAAAAUACAAAUAUUUACCAAAUUGCACACAAGGACAUAAAAUGCAAUCAAAGCAUAAGGGCAAAAUCGUAAAAUCAUAAUUCCAUAAGGGUAGAACCAUAAAAUUAUAAUCCAGGGGCAAAAUGGUAAAUAAUCAGCAAUGGCAGAAUCGUAAUUAUAAAUUAAACAGGGGUAGAACAGUAAAUAACCAUCAAAAGGACGGCAAAACGGUAAUUAGGAGCCUCGGGAGGGGCAAAAGCGUAAAAGUCCGCGCGGGGACGUCAGGCGCGUGCCUCGCACGCGCCUGCAACCGCGCGGGAAGCCCCGCGCGCGUGGAUCCCACGCGCGCAGCGCUUGCGCGCGCGUGAAGGCGCGUGGCGCGUGGGUUCCACGCGCCUGCAACCGCAGCGCGCGCGUGGAGCCCACGCGCCUUCUUCCUCGCGCGCAGACGCGAUUCUUCGCCGGUUUUUCGCCGUUCCACCGCCGUUUCGCCGCCCGUUUCUUCUCCGACAGCCCAUUACAGACACAAAUAAUUAAUGGGUUUUGAAGAGCAUGCCGGCACGACCACAUGGGUCCAAAUUUCGGAGAAAAUGACCAAAAAUUGGCCCCAAAUCAAACCAAAGUUUCAGAACACAAAAACUCCACCACCGCCGCUUCCGCCGCUCGAUUAGCCGCCGGCGAACACCAAUAUACGGGAAAAAUCAUGGCUAAUGUUCCUCAUGACAGUGCGACGGUGUGGGUCCGAAAUCAAGCGGUGGGUUGCCGGAUUUUACCCGGAACCGGCGAGUUUCUUCCUUGCCCUCAAAAUUCCGAAUUCCACCAUUUUUGUCAUUUUCCACUCGUGCACACACAGUAACUUUUCUUCACAAUUUUAGUCCAUGAAAAACGUUCUAUCAUUCGGAUUUUCUUUAACAGAACCUUCCAAAACAUUUCAACAACAACAAAUGCUAUAAACAUGAUCGUUUAACAAAUCAUCAAACAUCAACUAUAAUAUUUCUUUAAACGGAAAAAUCAUGAGAUCAUAAACCAAACGCUCUGAUACCAACUGUUAGACAAUUCAUAUAAAACUUGAUGCGGAAAUUCAUAACAAAUCAUUGAUCUUUGAUCUUCAUGAUUUUCACAAAUAGAUUCAGACAAACCUUUAUCCAUAGCGCUACGCUUGAUGAUGAUCGUUGUAGAAAACCCAAUGAUCUCGAACCAAAAGGAGAAAUCCGAUUUCUCUCCCUUAACCCACUAAACCUUAAUGUAUUCAAUUGAUGGAGGAGAGAAUACGUUCUUUCAGUUAUUGUUGUUCGUAUGUGGGUGGAGAGAGGACCGGACUCUUUUAUACGUUCGUUGAAAAUGUGCAUUCCAUCAAAGCGAUAUACCCUUUCGUUUUAUUAGAGUCGUACCUUCUCAUAACCAAUAUUAUUUAUAGCAUUUCAAUCAUUAUUAAACCAUAUAAUAAAUCACAUAAUAUGGGCCACAAUAAUUCUUACACACCGAACCUCCCUCCGGUGAUGCACUGAUCUUCAGCUCGUAGCUAGUGUUCUCCAAGGUGUUGGCCAGCAUGUUGCUCUCGAUGAUUGAAUUGGAGUAGGAGUAGCUCCCAUUGUCCAGGACCUCGAGCUUGUGCUUCACUACCUUGUUCCGAUGGCCUAUAGAAAACGCAAGUCACAUUUGAGACGCCACCGGUUUCGAAAAUCGCAAGCACUGCUUUGAAACACCAUUGACUCACGACAUCGUCAUGUUAAUGGUCAGGAACAUUUGAAUUAACCAAGUAAAUUUACUAACCUUCGCUGCCAGUGGUCUCCUCGACAAGCUCGGCACUCUUGAGGAAAGGGAAGAAGACUCUGGAGAUGAGGUUUAAGGCCCUAACGAUGGCCUCGAACGCCUGGGCUAGGAGGAUGGAGGACUUGAUCUCAGUCCUGAAGUAUUCCAUGAUUCUCUGUCCGAAAAAAAUCUGCUAAAAGCUGAAAGGGAAUGAUGAGAAUUGCGAGUACUGAGUAGGAGUGAAGUCUUGAUCUAAAAUUUCGGAGCGCAGUUCUAUAUAUUUAUAGAUAGGGUGCGAGAGUGAGAUGUAGAGGAGUCCGUGUGUAUCUAAUGACUCUUUCGGGACGUUUGGGUGGACAAGGGGAACUUUUUUAUGUUUUUUUCUAGUUGCUUUACGGGUUACUUUUAUCGGCACAGAUCAGCCGGGGUUUCUUUCCGGAUUGGGCGCUUUCAAGAAUUUUGGGUGGACUCGGGGUUUAAACGAGAGGUAGAAAAAGCCAAGGGAACAGGAGGCAGGUGGGACCCUUCAGCCCGUGCUUUUUCCUUUUUUCCAUUGAGAGGACGGAGACGAGGAAAGCAUAUCCGGCCCGCUCGACUUUUGGCAAUGACAGAAGCUCUCUCGUUGAUAAAGCUAGGCCGUGAGGUGAGUUGAGUCAUGCACAAGUACACCAAAUUGAAACUCUUCCGCACGUGGAGAUAGCUUCAGACAACUUAGAUGCCGUGAAUUGUGUCAUUUCCUUGGAACUUCUAGGUCCGUCAUCCAGGAUUGUGAUCUUCUAUUGACCCAACUAGAAGCAUAAAUUAAACUAAAAUAAGAACCCAAAGAAGCAAAUCGUGUUGCGGAUUGAGUAGUCAAAGACCCACCGAGUUAGAACCCUUCCAUCCAAUUGGGUUGUUUAUCCCCCUCAUUUCCAUUGGUAAAUUUAAGUCUUGAAUUUGGUACUAGUUAUAAUUCAUCUUUGAGUUAGUAAUCAAAAGUUAUUUUCGACCAAAAAAAAAAAAACCACCGAUGACGUACUAAUUCGAUGUUGUUGAUUUUGUGCGUACAAAGUCCAAAUCAACAUUAAUGACGUCAUAUAUGGCGUGCUAAAAGUUGUUCAUGAGUUGAAUUUUUGCAAUUACGUGCCCAAUGAAUUUUGACGCUCUUGAGUGGGAAAUCACUAAAUUGUUAACUUUUUCCAAAUGCCUGACGGGUGUCAUAGGAUUAGUUUGGCGAGUAGAGAUAAAAAGUUAGCACGCAAGUAAUUUAAAAGCGCAGUGUAAAUUCGAUUCUCCCAAUCAAUGAGCAUAAACGAGAACAUGGGGGCGAAAAAGGUUGUUACCAGCAUUGAAAAAGUGGACUUUUGAGAAGCUCCAAUCACUAAAAUGUUGCGUAUUCGGCAAGAUGCAAGUAAGUCUAUCCAUCGAGAGUUAGUUUUUAGAGAAAUGCAUAAACAGAUAUUAAAUCAAUAGAUAUGCUUAGAAAAAUGUCAUACAUAGCUUUUUUAGCUUUUUUAGCUUUUUUAGUAAGCAAGAGGUCUUGACUUUGAUUCUCAACGAGAUCCUUUUUCUUUUGACUUGUAAUAUUUCCUUUUUUCACAUUCAAUCUUCUUCCUAACAAUUUUUUUGAUAAAAAAAAAUUCAAUCGAGCCAAAAAAUGAAUUGCUUAAUACAUGAUAGAGCCAACAUAUAUACAUACUAUAUAUGUGUUUUUUCUCAGUACAAAUGGUUAUACGAGGACCCAAUUAGUAAGAGGGAGGUCUUGAAUUUGACUCUCAACAAGAGCAUUUGUCAUUCAAACUUUUUCAUAACAACUAUUUUACUAAAGAAAAAAAUCGAUUGAGCCAAAAAAAUUGUCACUUAAUACAUCAUAAAGCCAGCAUACACAUAUAAUUCAUUUUUCUCACUACAAAUGGGUAUACGAGCACCCAUUUAGUAAGCAGGAGGUUUUAAGUUCGACUUUCAAUGAGAGCAUUUAUCUUCUGACUUAUAAAUUUUCCUUUUUGUAAAUUCAAACUUCUUCAUAAUAAUUUUUUUAAGAUAAAAACCACCAAAAACCCCAAACUUUGCUCAAAGUGACAAAUUUAUCCCAACCUUUAUAUUUUGAUAUGAAAAAUCCCGAAUUUUGCCAACUGUGACACAUUUAUCCCAAACUUUUUUUUAUGACACAAAAAAUUCUGAACUUGUAUUUAUGUGACACAUUUACCCUAAAUUGUAAGGUAUUUUGGUCUUUUACUUUUAAAAUAUUUUUUUUACUUUUUUUUUUCUUCUUCUCUCUUCCCUCCACCAGCCAUGGCAGAGCCGAUGGAGGAAGCCAUAGUUAGGCGAGGGCUACCCUCACCGGCGUCAAGCGAGGGUCGCCCUCAGCUAGGCUGGCUAGGGCCGCCCGACGCCAGUGAGGGAGGUCCUCGACCGACCCAGUCGAGGGUGGCCCUCGCUUGAUGACGCCGAGUGCAGCCCUCGCCUGACUCCAACUUCCCUCCGCCAUGGCCAGCGAAAGGAAGAGAGAAGAAGAAGAAAAAAGAAAAAAAAAGAGAAUAAGACGAAAAUGCUAUUGGUGGGUUAAAUGUGUUACAGUUUGCAAAAUUUGGGGUUUUUAUGUCACAAAAGAAGGUUUAGGAUAAAUUUGUCACUUUAGGCAAAGUUAUGGUUUUUGGUGGUCUUUUCCCUUUCAAUCGAGCCAUAAAAAAAGUCACUUAAUACAACAUAGAGCCAACAUAUAUAAUAUAUUUUGUUCCUUUUCUUGGUAUAAAUGGGAUACCAGCACUCGUUUAGCAAGCCUAAGUCUUGAGUCCGACUCUCAAUGAGAGCACUUGUCUCGUGACUUAUAAUCCUUCUUUCUUCUACAUUCGAACUUUUCCGUAACAAAUUUCUUGACAAACAUUCAAACUUCUAUCUUCUUGAUGCCGUUAUAAUAAGGGAUACGGAACUCUAGUGUGAAUGGAACUCAUUGCUGUGAUGCUAAAGGGAAGGCGAUGCUGACGAAUCCUACUGGAAUAUGCGGGGGACAGAAAAUCUUAGAGCUGGCGGUUAGAUCUAGUUGAGGUUACCAAGGGUUGAUUAUUGCUUAUCGCCCCGGAACUGACUUACCUAGGUCAUGCUCAGCCCUCACCCUUAGAAAAAGGAACUCAAGAAAAAAAAUUCAGUCACUGCUCCAUAAUGAUUAAUGUCCAUCAUAGUUCAAGUAAGGAGAUAUAAGCAAACGUUCAAACAAUAAAUAAAUAGAUCAACAAAAUAAAUUGGAUACCAGACUUAUAUGAUUCAAUCGCAGUGACCUACCUCUAUAAGAAAAGUAAUAACAAAUUUUAUUGUAGAUCAAACAAUAUGACGGAAAUUAUAAUCACAGUCGAGUUACUUUAAUACUCUUAUUGUUUUCCAAUUUCUAAUUACAUUCAAUAAUUCAAGUAAUAUAUAACCUCACAAUUUCUAACUAAAUAAUCCUUUAAUCUCAAGAAGAAAUUAACAAAUCGCGAAUUAAACCCUAAUUUCGCUAUAUGUAAUUCAAGGAGAAUAUCCAAUGUCAAGCACGCCAACGGCACUACUUGCGGCUGAAAAACCCGUGAUAAAGUCACCUCUCCACACGAGAGAGAGAGAGAGAGAGAGAGAGAGAGAGAGAGAGAGAGAGAGAGAGAGAGAGAGAGAGAGAGAGAGAGAGAGAGAGAGAAUGUGUGCAUGUCUGUCUUUUUCCUUCGGCAUUUUUGGCGGCUUCUUUUGUGGCAGUCAUCUAAGGCCUCGCAUGGUAAUGUUUCUGUUCCUUUUCUGUUCCCGGGAACAGAAACAAAAAAAAAAAAGUGUUUCUGUUCCAGGGAACGGUUUUUGAACAAAAGAACGUGUUUGGUAACGUUUGUUCCGGGAAUAAAAAAUGAAUAGAAACACGUUUGGUAAAUUUUAUUCUUUUUUUGUUUCUUUUAAUUUUUUAAUAUUUUUAUUUUAUUUUCCAUUUUUUCCUUUCUUUUUUAUUUUUUUCUUCUUUCGGCCGGUCGCCGACCUCCGGCGACCAGCCGACGAGGCCGGCAGCCUCGCCCGGCCACGGCAAGGCUCGCCGGCCCCCGGCAAGGCCGAGCCUCGCCGUGGUUGGGCGUGGCUCGGCCUCGCCGGAUCUAGGCGAGCUCGAGCUCGCCCAGCCAUGGUGAGGCUCGGCCUCGCCGGAUCUAGGCGAGCCCGAGCUCGCCCAGCCAAGGCAAGGCUCGGCGUCGCCAGUGCGGGCGAGGCCGAGCCUCGCCGCCCUGCCGUCGGAGCCAAGCACCUGCGCCCCGAAGCCCGCAGCUCAACGCCGUCCUGAUCUCACCACACCAUUCGCGACGCCGUCCACCGGCAAGGCCCGUGUCGCCCCGUGUCGAUCCCGAAGCCUCUAGUACGGCGCUGCCGUCGCACCGUCCUCCGGAGCCCCUCGCCGGAACCCUAGCCGAAGAUCUCCCAUCGAGCGAGGCCGAGCCUCGCCUUGGCUGGGCGAGCUCGGCGUGGGCGAGGCUCGGCCUCGCCAGGGGCCAGCGACGCUCCGGCGAGGUCGUUGACCCUCGAGGGCGUCGCCAGCCCUUGACGGCCGGUCGUCGGCCAUGGCCGAGGCCGGCGACCGGCCAGAAGAAAAAAGAAGAAAAAAGAAGAAGAAAAGAAGAAGAAAAGAGAAGAGAGAGAAGAAGAGAAGCGUUUCUUUUUGGCUUUGAAGAAGUUUUUCUUUUCUCCAGAAACAACUUUUUUGUGUUUCUUUUUUUUUGUUCCAAUUUUGUUCUGGGAACAAAAAAACAAAAAAAGAACAUAAACGCAACCAAAUGCGUUUCUGUUCUUUUUUUGUUCCCGGGAACAAAAAAAGUACAAAAGUGUUCCAGAAACACUUUUUUGGAGCGUUUCCAUGUAGGGCCUAAGUGACCGGUGAAGAAAGACCGAUAAAAAGAAGAAGAAGAAGAAGAAGAAGAAUACUUUCUGAGAGAGAGAGAGAGAGAGAGAGAGCAAUCAAUAUUGUCAGUGCACUGUUCGGGGUACAAAGCAAUGAUUUCAUCAUUCUUGAUUAGGGUUUUGAAAAUAUGGCUUUUCAAUCCGUUUCAUACAUUCUCCGGUUCCCUUUUGGGAGUAGUCGUGCACUACUCCCCGCCCCCUUCUCUCUCUCAACCGUCGUCUAGUUGAACAAUUCGUAACAGUCCCGACUCGUGCUUUUGCCGUCUGUCCCUUCUGCCUGAGAAUCUUGAAACGGUGCCGAUGUGGACCUCUUCCUCAACGGCAUCGCCGGCCCUCAACGGCCAUGGCCGAGGCUAGCGACCGGCCAAAGAAAAAAGAUAGAAGAAAAUGGAAGAGAGAGAAAAAAGUGUUCAUAAAUUUUGUUCCAGAAACAAUAAACAACUUUUUUUUUUCUUGUUUCCGUUCCAGAUGUGUUUCUGGAAACAAAAAAAUAAUUUUGGAACAAAAACGCAAACAAACGCGUUUCUAUUUCAAAAAACAAAAAUUUGUGUUCCUGGGAAUAGAAACACAUUUUAACAAACAGGCCAUUAGUAACUGUCCAAAAUUUCAAUUCCCAAAAUAGAAUUGCGUUUAGUAAUAUGCUCAAAAUUUCUACUCAAAAUCAUUUUCUUUUAAUUUUUAAAUAAUUUUAUUACUUUUUUCCUUUUUUUUCUUCUUUUCUUUUUUCCUUUCUCUCUCAUGUUCUUCUUCUUCAAGUGGCUAGUCGCCGGACCAGCGACCGGCUAGACGAGGGCUGGCAAUCUCAUCGAAAUGUUAAUAGCACUUAGCGAGGCUCGCCUAGCCUCACCGGUGCCUAGCCAGGCCUCGACGAGGCUGGGCAAGCCUCGUCGGUGGCCAGGCGGGCCUCGCCGAUGGCCGAGUGGGCCUCACCAGGGCUGGGCAAGGCCCCCCUGCUGGUGGCUAGGCUUGCCUCCGGCGAACUCGCUGGACCUCGCCCUGGCUUGGCAAGCCUUUGACAAGCUCGCCAGACCGGUUGUCAGCAACCAGCAAUAGUGGGUGGCGGACGGCAACCGCAGCGAUGGAUGAAGAGGAAGGAAAGGGAAGAAGAAGAAGAGAAAAUAUGGACUUGAUUCUUGGAUUUGUUCUCAAGAACAAGAAUCAACUUUUUCUUUUAAUUCUUGAUUAUGCUCCAAAUCCACUUCCCUAAAAAAAAAAAAUCCCAAAAACAAAAAUUUUACCAAACACGAUUCCGUUCCAAAAUUACUCCUGGGAACAAAAGAAUAAAAUUUGACACCGUUUGGCUGGUUACCAAACAGGUCCUUAGCAAGCUAAAGUUUUGAGUCCAACUCUUAACGAGAGCAUUUGUCUAGUGACUUAUAAUCUUUCUUUCUUCUACAUUCAAAUUUUCGUAACAACUUUUUUGAUAAACAUUCAAACUUCUGUCUUCUUGAUGCUGUUAUAAUCAGGGAAACGGAACUUUAGUGGGAAUGGAACUCAUUGCGGUGAUGCUAGAGGGAAGUUGAUGCUGACGAAUCUCACUGGAACAUGCGGAGGACAGAAAAUCUUAGAGCUGGGGAAAAUGAAUGGGUUUGGGAUUAAAUCUGGCUAAGUUAUUGCCCCGAAACUGACUCACCCAGGCCAUGGUCAGCUCUAAAGGGAACUCUAGAAAAAGAAUAAUGACUAAUGUUCUUUAUUGUUCAAGCAAAGAGACAUUUUCUAUCGGCUAAACCUUAUGCUUCUCACAUUCAAUGCUUGUGUUCCAUCUGAAGUUAUUUUUUACCACAUAAUUGUCGAAUGAUGGUUUUAAUUAGUGAUGGGCCUAAGUUGGCCCGUCUGCCCAUGCUGGGCCCAAAAGGCCCGGCCCACGGGAAUAGGGCCCGUAGAAGGGGAAGGUAUAAAAGGGAGGAGAGAGAGAGAGAGAAGACAACGCUUGGCUGAACGUACGUACGUUCUCUCCCUCGCUCUCUCUCCAAAAGGACAACAAGAACAGUAAGGCAAACGGCACGUUCUUCUUCCCUUCAAGGCGCCAUCGGAUCGAACAGGACCAGAAUUUCUUCUCGAUCUUUAGCAUUGGUGUCUAAUCUGUGGCUAACAAGGUACGCUCGAAUCCGUGGUGUGCUUUAUGAUCGGUGAUACGUGUUUUCCCGGGCUUCGUCUUCCGCAUUGAUUUAGGGGUUUGAUUGAGUGUCGAAUCCGGUUUUCGGGGAUCAGUCAUUCCCAACAUUGGUAUCAGAGCCCUAGUUCACGUUUUUCCCGAUCAAUUUGAUGUUUUUGAUUGAUCUUUCGCGAAAGAACUUCGGCCGUACGGAUCGGGGCGAAAAAUCCCGACACCCGAGCGCUGUUCGGCCAUUUUUCUGAGUUUUCGUAAGUCGAAAUUGAAUUCUGAAAGCACUGAGUGAAAGAGGUCGUCGAGACGAGUCCGGCGACAUGUUGUGCGUCGCCGAACGACGCCGCACGCACACACAUGCGCGGCCACAAGCCUCUGCGCGUGGGCGCCACGCGCCCGAAGCGCUGGCAAUGGCCAACGCGUGCGCCACACGCGCCGGUGACGAACCGGCACGUGCGUGCCGGCGACCGGCGAAACGGCACACGCCGGUCCGCGGACCAACGCGUGCUGACGUCACGUGAUGACGUCACCGUGACGUCAUCCAACGGUCGGUAACCGCUCGGAUGACGUCAUCGCCGACGACGUUUCGCCGGGCGGUUACUGGCCGGCGACCCGACCCAACGACGACCCGACCCGAACCGCGACGCCCGGCACGCCCGCGGCACGUGCCGGGUGACGUUUGCGUGACGUCAUCCCGCGCACGCGUGCGGCACGUGCGGACGGUUCGCCCGAACCAGCCCGACCGGUCUGCCCGGUCCGUCCGGCGACCGUUGACCCGUUGACCGACCGUUGACCGUUGACUUUGACUGUUGACCGUUGAUGAAAAAAAAAAAAGGAAUUUGUUUCUUUUUCAUAUAUGCCUAUGUGGUUUAUAUGUAAUCCAUUAUUUAUUCUGCAUUUGUUGCAUGAAUUUUGGAAAAUUAUGUGUUUUCCCUUAUGUUAAUUAUGGAUUAUAAGUGAUCCAUUUUUUAAUUCUGCAUUUGUUGCAGGAAUUAUGAUGCGUCAUGCACGAAUACCUACAAUCCCGAGAACGGACGAGGGAAAUGCAAGACUUAAAAGGCUGAUGACAGAGUUGGCUGAUUAUCGGUGGCAUAACGGUGAUUUAGUAUCACAUGUGGUCAAGGUCAAUAAGAUGAUACAGGAAAUCAUCAAUAAUGGUUAUCUUAUGCCGGAUUUUUAGAAGGUGCCGGCUUUGUUGAACACUCUUCCACCUGAAUGGCAAGCAGUGUUAGAUCGGCUAUGGGAGGUCAACGUGGUCCCGGGUUAUAGGAGGCUGGUGGAAGCUUUUGUAAGAGAGUACUAUAAGAUUGAGUUUGCCAAAACUUCAACCCUUAGAUUGUGCGCUACGUGGCGCAGAGUGAAUGCGCCUUGGUGGCGACAUGAAUGCUCUCCAAAAGUUUUUCCAUGGUUGGCAAAUGUGCCUUCAGUUUUCUCAGAUGUUUUGACUAAUAGAUUAGAAUGGACAUUCCCUAAUUAUUUCUUAGAUUAAUUGUGGGAUUUUUUUUUAUGGAUGUAAAUAUCUCUUUCCAUGUUGAUAUUUUUCUCUGUAUAUAUUGCUUAGUGUAAUGUAUAGUUGUAUUAUGUGAAAGCACUAUUAUUCUAUUGGAUGUUAGAUAAUAUUUGCUUUCUGUUACUGCUGAUUGCUGUGGGUAGUUAGCUGUGGGUAGUUCAUAGAAGUUUUUGUAGCUUCAUAGAAUUGUUUUUGCAUAUGACAAUCAUAUUAAUGAUAGUUUUAAGUUAGGAUUUUUGGAGGAUGAUUGGAAACGUAGUGACCUUUUGAUUCUGAAACCUUACUUGAAAUUAUUCAUUAAUAUGAUGGGUCUAUGCAAAUAGGGAUGCAUAAAUGAUAGGCAUUAAUUAUUCGUGCACAUAUGUCUGAUGUGUUCAGAUUGAUGGAUUCAGCAACUAAGAACGUAAUUGCUGAUGUGAACGGCAACAAUUGUGAAAUAUUGAAUAUGAAGAUUCAAUAUGUGCUGGAAAAGCAAGAAGCACUAGAAGCUCUUGACCAUGUUAUGGAAGAUCUUGAGGAUGCUGUGCGCCACCUUGAGUUGGUAGAGGACCGCUUAACGGCAUGUGAGCUGAAAAUAAAUAUUUGCAAUGCUGGUUCUAGCUCAGAAAGGGCUUUGAGCUCUAAGCGCAAGCGUAUUGAUUCGUUCAAUAUGUGGGAAUGCAAAGGAUCAAGUCCUUAUUGCAAGAGAUAAAGAGUUAACCAAUACAAGAGAGGAAAACGUCCUCAAGUUAAGAAAAUGUCAAGGGUGAGGUGUUACAAUUGUGACAAGAAAGGUCACUAUGCUCGCGACUGUCGUGAGCCAAAGAAAGUAAACACCUCUUGUACAUUUGAAAACUUUACUUUUGUGUCAAAUUCUGUAUUAUUAGCUGAAUUCAAUCCUUUGUGAACUGUAGAUUCAGGAGCAACAGACGAUGUAGCGAAAGAUAAAGGAUCCUUCGUGGAAUUCCGACGAAUACCAACUGGAACUAAGUGGAUCUAUGUGGGAAACAGCUCCAGAGUUGAAGUUAAAGGGAUUGGCACCUGCCAACUGAACAUGUGUGGUGGACGCACCUUGUUCCUACAUGAUGUUCUAAAUGCUCUGGAGAUUUGUCGAAAUUUAAGUGUCUGUUUUGAUGUUGGUUAAGCUUGGUUUUGAUAUGAACUUCCAUAAAUAAAGUGUAGAUUUGUGUUUAGAUACAAACUACUAUGGUUGUGGUCACUUUCUAGAUGGUUUUAUUGUACUAAAUGUUGACUGUGGUGAUGUCAAUAUGUUAUUCCCUUGUUUCACGUCUUUUACUUCAUGUGAUAAUGAUGUGAAUGUGUGGCAUGCUAGACUUGGUCAUAUUGGCCAACAACAUAUGAAUAGACUUGCCAAAGAGGGCUUGUUGGGCAAUAUUGAAUAAGUCGAUUUGUCCAUAUGUAAGCAUUGCUUAGAAGGGAAAACGACAAGGAAACCAUUUGGAAAAGGUAAAAGAGCUGACAUUCCUCUGCAUUUAAUCCAUUAUGACGUUUGUGGUUCAAUGAAUGUGAGAGGAAUGCAUGGGACUGUUUACUUCAUCACUUUUAAUAGAUGAUUAUACUCGAUUCGGAUGUGUCUAUUUGAUUUCUCAUGAAUCUGAAGCAUAAGUUGUUUCAAAAGGUUUAUGAACUUGGUUGAAAAUCAAUUAGACAAGAAAAUAAAAGCAUCGAGAUCUGAUCGAGGUCGAGAAUAUUUAUCUGAAAAGUUCAGAAAAUUAUGUGAUGAAAAAGGAAUAGAAAGACAGUUGUCUAUUCCAUAUACUCCUCAACAAAAUGGUGUUGCGGAGAGAAGAAACAGAACCCUACUGGAAAUAGUUAGGUCCAUGAUGGCGCAUGCUAACUUAGAUAUCACUUUUUUGGAGUGAUGCGUUGUUAACUGCUGUCUAUAUACUUAACCGAGUGCCUUCCAAAUCAGUUAGUUCCACUCCAUAUGAGUUAUGGACAGGUAGAAAACCAGACUUAAGUUUUCUUAAGCCAUGGGGUUAUGCUGCCUAUACUCAUGAGUCCUCUCACAAGUUUGGGAAAUUGAGUCCCAGAUAAAAGAAGAGUAUUUUCAUGAGAUACUCCGAACACUCGAAAGGGUAUAUGUUCAUAGGUGAGCAGGAAAGUGGGAGUAUGACUAAAUUUGAAUCACAGGAUGUCACAUCCUUAGUGGAUGAAUUUCCUAAGAAGGGCGAAAUAGGGGAAGAUUAGUCCCUAUUUGAAACCUUGGAUCAAGAUAAUGAUAUUAAUGGAGUUCGUCCAAGUGGGAGUAAUAUGAGAAGUGAUGAAUUGAAUUCAACUCAUUCUCAAUUACAACCACAUGAUGAGAUGAUAUCGUCAUUAUUUAAUCCGAGUGGGAGCAUAAUGGGGAAUGAUGUGCUAAAGUGUACAAUCUCCCAUAUAGCGAACAAGUCGCCAAAGGAUUCCCCGUCAACGUUUUGACAUUGAAGGGGAAACUUCUAAUGAUUGCUCCACAAAAUGAGGAUGAGCCAAGAAAUAUUAAUGAGGCUCUGAAUUGCCCUAGUAAGAAAAAAUGGAUUUAUGCAAUGAAAGAGGAGAUGGAGUCAAUGAAGUCAAACCAAGUCUGGGAACUGGUUGAUCUUCCAAAAAGGGGACGCAAAGCUAUUGGGAACAAGUGGGUUCUCAAAAUAAAGCAAAAGGCUGAUGGCUCGAUAGAAAGCAUAAGGCUCGCCUUGUGGCGAAGGGGUAUAAUCAACAGAAAGGAAUUGAUUAUGAAGAUACAUUUUCUCCUGUAGAGGGAUUUACCUCGAUUCGCAUUAUUCUGGCAAUAGUGGCUAGUAUGGAUCUUGAGUUACAUCAAAUGGAUGUAAAGACUGCUUUCCUCAAUGGAGAAUUAGAGGAAUAAAUAAAUAUGGAACAACCUGUUGGUUUCAUAGUGAAAGACCAAGAAGAAAAGGUAUGUCGACUUUGGGGGUCGAUAUAUGGCCUUAAGCAGUCGUCAAGACAAUGAUAUAUACGUUUUCAUAAUGCCAUAAUAGCAUAUGAUCUUACAAUGAUAGAUGAGGAUCAUUGUAUAUAUAUCAAAAGAUCCAAGGAUCAAUUUGUGAUCAUAUCAUUAUAUGUUGAUGAUAUAUUAAUUGCCGGAAGUAAUAUGGAGUUUGUUCAUACUGUCAAAAGUUGGUUGUCUUCCAAUUUUGAGAUGAAUGAUAUGGGAUUGUAAACACAUAAACACUCCUAUUGCAAAAGGUGAAGGAUUGAGCCAUAGACUGUGUCCAAGGACUCCACAAGAGAAGGAACAAAUGAAACAUGUUCCUUAUGCUAGUGCUGUUGGGAGCUUGAUGUAUGCUAUGAUGUGUACAAGACCUGACAUAUGUUAUGUAGUUGGAAUGGUGAGUAGAUACCAAUCCAAUCCAGGUCAAGCACGUUGGAAAGCCGUUAAAAAAAUACUAAGGUAUCUAAAGGGGACUGCUGAUUAUACGCUGAGUUAUUAUGGAAAGGAUCUGCGACUCUAAGGCUAUUCUGAUGAUGAUUGGGGAGGAGAUUUAAAUAAAAGGAAAUCUACCUCUAGGUUUGUUCUCUUACCGAAUAAUGGCACCAUGUGUUGGAGCAGUAAGAAACAAAAGUGUAUAGCCUUGUCCAUGAUGGGAAUUGAGUUCGUGGCAUUAUCAGCAGCAGUAUAAGAAGAUGUUUGGCUUAAGAGAUUUUUUGGAUCAUUUAGGUGUUAUUGGAAGUGCUGCAGAUUAAUUGUUGGUUAAUUAUGAUAGCCAAGCAGCAAAAGUGUACACCAAAGAUCCAAAAUAUCAUGACAAUACCAAACAUAUAGAUACCAAGUAUAAUUUUGUCAUGGAUAUGAUUGCACGAAAAGAUGUGAACUUAUAGUACAUACUACGCAUAGAAUGGUAGCAGAUCCUAUGAUAAAGCCAAUACCUAGAGAUGUGUUUUGUGGCUAUAUGAAAUCUCUAGGAUUGCGUAGAGGCUGAUGUACUGAAUAUUGUAAUUUCCCUAAGUGUUCACAAUUUGAUGAAUUUGUGUUUUCAUCAUUAAUGCCUAUGAAUCUUUGUUUGAUCUUUAUGCAUCUUAAUGCUCAGUGCAUUACUUUAAGUUAAGAGAAGUAUGUCGGACAGAUAUAAGAUUAGCCCACUCACACGGGUAAUCGCCUCUAUUUACUGUGUGAUAAAUAGAGAUGAGACUGUUUUUAAGCUUAUUAUCUAGGUGAUAAUCGAGAGCUCAAGCUUAAAACACGUAUGUCACCUUAACUAAGUGUUAAGAUGGGGACAUAAUACUUACUAUGUCCGAAAGUAAAAUACCCCACAUAUUUUACUUUAUCUGUUUAAGAUGCCAAAUGUGAGUUCUGAUGAAUUUUGUAAAUGAGUAGAUACGUGAACUCAAGUUAGACAUUGGGUAUGUCUGAACUAUCAUCUGUACGGUAUUGAAAGGUGUAGACAUACGCUCCAUGGGAAAGGAGUUGAUACCGUAAUACGUAUUUCAUACUACGUAUGCAUGAGACGACUAAUAAGAGUGGCAAAAGUUUGAUCUCAACUUUUUUUUUAUGUCGUGUGAGACUCUUGAGGAAAAGAGUUCCUCAAUUUUUUAGUCCCCUCAUGACUCUUACUUAUUCUCAAGAUUUCUAUUUAGUGUUUGCUAUCUUAGGAUGUUGCCAAUGGUCAUGAGUUUCAUUCGAUCUAAUGGGGCAUUUCUAGAAAAGCAAGCUGAACUGAAAUUGAGAGUUUGAAGGAAAGAGGAAGAUCGAUUUUGGAGAAUCACAUUGUAGUUUUGUAUUCACCGGUUAACCAAUUAUGACUGUCUUUGGGAUAAUCAUAAUUGUGAAUACAAUAUAUAUAUAUAUAUAUAUAUAUAUAUAUAUAUAUCAUUGUUUAAAAGAGAUCAAGAGAGAUAUAAAUGUGAUCAAUCGAUCUAGGGAACUGCAUACUAAAUCUACUCGGAGUGUGAUGCCCAUUAUGAGCUGCUAUAUAUUCCUAACAGAUGUAUGGCAACGAGCUCUCAAAGUAUGCUAGUCGCACGGAUUAUUCACUGGUAUGAAUGUUGAAGAGAGGUAAAGAGAAUUCUGUUCGGCCCACCAUGUGCGAGUGGGAGAUGAUGGUUUUAAUUAGUGAUGGGCCUAAGUUGGCCCGUCCGCCCAUGCUGGGCCCAAAAGGCCCGGCCCACGGGAAUAGGGCCCGUGGAAGGGGAAGGUAUAAAAGGGAGGAGAGAGAGAGAGAGAAGACAACGCUUGGCUGAACGUACGUACGUUCUCUCCCUCGCUCGCUCUCCAAAAGGACAACAAGAACAGUAAGGCAAACGGCACGUUCUUCUUCCCUUUAAGGCGCCAUCGGAUCAAACAGGACCAGAAUUUCUUCUCGAUCUUCAGCAUUGGUGUCUAAUCUGUGGCUAACAAGAUACGCUUGAAUCCGUGGUGUGCUUUAUGAUCGGUGAUACGUGUUUUCCCGGGCUUCAUCUUCCGGAUUGAUUUAGGGGUUUGAUUGAGUGUCGAAUCCGGUUUUCGGGGAUCAGUCAUUCCCAACAGUUGACAACCUAAUUUGACCAAUAAACGCAGUACAUCUAUAUAGUAUCUGGAGAGCAGCUGUUGUUGCUAGCUAAGGAUUACAUCAAGUAUCUUUUUAGUGGAUGUUUGAGUGUUAGGUCAACCCGUGCGAUACCCCAGUGAGGAAGAUUUUACAACGAGCUAACAGAGAAGAAAGAGGUUGAUCAGUAUUGGUUAGUGUUGAAAAUUGAGAUCCAUUUUCUAAAACUAGCUAAUUUCUUCUAUUGUAAUCUAGAAGCUCCUAAGUAAAGGUUUUGGUAGUGGAAGUUGUGGUCUAACAAUGUCCAAGUUAAGAGAUGUUUGGAUGAAUGGCCGUGGACAGUUGUAAAGCAAAAAUAUCUCUGACAAAAGCAGGAAUCUUUCCUUGAAGAAUACGGUGGGUGGCUUUAUGAGUAAAGCAAGAACUAGUUUGUGUAAGGUGGUGGAAGCAUCAGAUAAACUCCAGCCACGUGAACAUCCCGUCCUACAAUUAUGUAACGCCACAUUUCUAUCAAAUAAAUAAACGAUAUUCUUGUCUCAUAAAUCUUUUUCUAUAUUCCUCAGAGUAUUCAUCCUUGUCCAUUCCCCUACAUCAACUAUACCAUAAACAUAUACAUUUACACAUACAAACAAAAAAAUAUCAUUGAUAUCAAAGUCAUUCUUCGGCACAAUCUCACAAUUUCCAACAGUUAGAGAAGGCGAUAAUUAAUAUCCCGACCUAGUGGGACGGUCCUGAGAAGUAGAGGCGCAGGGAGAGAAUAUAGACAAGAUUUGUCUUCCAGCUAUGAUAAUGACCUCUGAACAAUUCAUCUUCGUCUUCCCCAGUCAUUUUAGAUGGAACAGCGAUAUCAUUCCACGGUUCUAGUUUUGCAGUGAUCCGAAGCUUGAUCUUGGUAGACGAUGAGAAAGCUGUCUUGUGUAGUUGUUACACCAUCCGUCAUGGAAUUUUCGUGCAAAAUUUAACAAGAACAAGGUCAGAUGAAUGAAGGAUUGAAGUCUAUGUCAUUCUGUUUUGUUGCAGUAUGAAUGACUGAGUUCAAGUUGAUUCAAAGCGUUAGAGCAAUUGGGACUUGAUAGGCUGCUUCAUCGGGUGAGGACUUCUUCGUUCCAACUUUUUCUGUCCCUUUUGAUUCGUUUUCAUUUCUGCUAUUGAUUUCGUCAUUUUGAGCUUAGGUUGCUACCUAAUAGGCAGAAUUUUUGUAACAUUUGAUAUGAUAUGCAAAUACACAUUACUUGUGUAUAUCUCGAAAAUUCCCACAUUUAGACACUGCUUUAGGCUGGCUUCCAAAAAAAUGCCCUUCUAUUAAUCUUCCGAGCGUUAAAAACUACAAAUACAAACUAAAAAAGUCAGAUUGUGAGAGCAACUUCCGUUUGCUCUUUCUUUUGUUUUGCAUUGCAUAUUGGUCCUUCCCCUAUUUUUGCAUGCUGACAGCUAAUCAUAAACACCAAGUUGCUUCAAAGGUUAUGGUUGAAACAAGCAUAUACUGAAAUGUAGAGGCAAAAGAAAUUAUGUAGGUUCUCGAAACUCUGGUGGUUGACCGCAGGGACAUCACCCGAUCCCGGUAUGUUGAGCUUUUUGAUGGCAAUGAUUUGGCUGCUGGCCAGUUCAAUCCUGUAAACGCUCCCGAACCAGCCCUUCCGAUGCAGUACUUUUCACUGCAGUCAUUGGUAGCCUUGGCGAUGUCAUUGAAUGUGAACUUCCCUUCCCUUCCCCAUAUGAUCGACUUGGAUUGCUCUUGCUUCACAAGACUCUUGAUCUCUUCAUCGAAUUCCUUGUUUCGCCACCAAAGUGCCAGAAUCACAGCAAUUGAAAUCACCAGAAAUAGUAAGCAGCAGAUGCCCAGGGUCACACCAAAAAAAACCUUUUCCCUAUGGUCGGUCGAUUUACGCUCAUCCCACAAGGAGAUAAUCCGGUCGUGUUUCCACACAAACCUAGAUUCGCGAUUAAAGCACUUCCCUGUGCUUGUUGGGAGAGGCGACCACUACGAACCACACUAAUUGGCUUGUUGCACGAUAAGUCUGUUGAGCUUCAACUCCUCAUGUUGGUGAGAGGAGCUGGGAUCGUAACCGACAAUUUGUUAUGCAAAAGAUUGAGAUUUUCCAAUUCAGUGAACUUUGCUAAAUUGGAAGGAAUUGAUCCUGCUAGAGAAUCAUGGCUCAGGUUCUCCUCUGUAGCGUGAACAAGUUCCCCAGCUCUGGCGAUAUGACAUCCAACAUAUUGUUGUUGCUCAAGUUCAAGCUCAGUAAAUUCUUGCAAUUCGCUAGCUCUUCCGCUAUGCUACCGCUCAAUGCCUUCUCCCCGACAAAUCAAGAUAUUCUAGCUUCAAUAAGUUUCCUAACUAGGUGGGAAUAUCUCCAGCCAAAUGGUUGUAGCUCAAGUUCAGCCUAAUCAACGCCCCCAGACUUACCAAAUCAUCAGGAAUUUUCCUGGUCCAUUCAUUGCCAUAUGGAGUCAGAUCGUGCAAUUGAGACAAUUUAUUAAUCUCCGGCAAGAUGCGGCUGGGGAUUUUGUUACCAUCUAUCUGCAAAUUCGUGACAUUCGUGCACUCUCCCCAUUCUGCAGAGAGAUUCCCGACAAAUCGGUUGUUGCUGAGGACCUGAGGCUUAUAAAGUCCGGAUUCAGAUAAACUCCAAACGCACUCAUGACAUCUGCGGUGAACCGAUUGCUGUCCAGACGGACUCUCGUUAGCCCCGGACAAUUCCUAAGCAGUUGGGCAGCGGCUAGGUGAAGUUAUUCCCAUCGACCACGAGAUAUCAAAGAGCAAAGCCGCUGCAUAUAUCUGGCGGCAGCUCUCUGGUGAAGCUGUUGUUCGAAAAGUUAACAUUGCCCAGAGAAUGGCUGUACUUGCCAAAAUCACGGGGUAUGCCUCCCGAGAAAGUGUUCAUGAACAAAGAGAUGGACUGUAAGUGAUGCUACAUCAUGGCUUUUUCCUUCCCAGCCCUGAUCUCCUCUUCUUCAACUUGAAGUGCCUCCUUGGUGGUAUACUUGCUGGUCAUCUUGCAAACCGACCUUCAUCACUGACAGCCUCUCAAACUUGACCUCGUAAUCAAUCGACUCGAGUUUGUCCUCUAAUGUGUCACCUUCGAUUAUCGUCUACCUACACACGAAGUUCUCCUUGUCGAGCUCAUUGAUCCGGUGCUUCACAUUCUUGAAAUGACUAGCUGCAUUUGUGACCAAACAAGACUUACAUUAUGAAACUCCCGGCUUGACGAGUGUCUGUUGAGUGUUCGUACCUUCGGCGAUAUUAACUUGCUCGAUGCUCCCGGCUCCUCCGUUGCCUUGCACGAGCUCCACGCUCUUUAUGAACUGAGGCAGGAGCUUUGGGAUCAGGGAAUUCAACCCGACGAUCAAGGCCUUGAACAUGUGAGCUGGAGCAAUCGGGCACGUGAGCUCUUGUGUGAUGCUGGUUGCACCCAUGGCUAUUGGCAAUGAGAAAGAAAUAACCCCAGAGAAGUUCGUGCUUCUGAGUCCUGUCAAUGCCUCCUAUUUAUGGUUAGAAUUAUGCGAAUAGGUAGGCUUGGUUUGGCAAGAGUCACGUUUGAGGAAAAUAGAAGAGUCGAGGAUUCGCGGCCUAAAGAAAUAUAUAAUAAGAAUGUACUUUUCCUUAAUGAUUUUACUUAUUGCGGUUCAUGAAAAAUUGUGCCACCUUGAUAUGUUUCGAUGAUCGAUCCGGAUCGAGCGGGAUCGAUAGUCCAUAUUCGAAAUAUUAGGCCACAGUUUACCAUGAAUUCAUUUCACUCAUGUAUCCUCUCCAUGUAGCGCAGUUUACCAAAUGCCAUAAAAACCACUACACCAGAUUCCUGUCACAUCUUUCAUUCUCUUAUUCUCAGCAAAGACUGGAACAACAACAAUCACCAGCCCAACAUGCUUUAACUUCGAACACCAAGUGACUCAAACGCUUCUUGUCUUCUAUUUAGUUUUGCCCAACCGGACAAUAAAAGAUAGCGACGAGAUCGGCGCAACAGGCAUCAGCGUUUGCCACGACAGAAGCCUCUAUGGCCUUGACCAUCGCGUCCACCUUCUCUUUCCCGGCCUUGAUCUCCUCCUCGGUGAUAUUCACCUCGCCAAUGGUGAAGUACUUGCUCAUGCACUUCAACACCGAGCCUCCCUCGGGCGACGCGGUGAUCUUCACCUCGUAGCUGAUCUUCUCAAAGGCGGUGCCCAGCGCAUCACCCUCGAUGAUUGAGUAACAGUAGGUGAAGUUCUCCUUGUUCAAGGCCUAGACCUUGUGCUUUGCCGUCUUGUACCGACUGCCGAUCAGAGUAACAAAAAGUAACAUUCACAUUUAGAACUUGCCGGUUUCAACAUUGUGAGCACCGAUCUUGAUGGUGUAGAAUCGGCCAUUCAGGAAUUAGCCCCCAGCCACAAUCCAAUACUAUUAACUUAGACAUGGCCUGAUUUUGCCUUAUCGAAAUCAGGUCACAUGAUCACAUGUGUAAAUUUAAACAGUUAGAAACGUCUUAAUUAAUCAAGUCAUAUAUCUAUAUUUUUCAAUCAAGUCAUAUAUCUAUCAUUAAGGAAUUAGCCCCCAGCCACAAUCCAAUACUAUUGACUUAGACAUGGCCUGAUUUUGCCUGAUCGAAAUUGGGGCACAUGAUCACUUGUGUAAAUUUAAACAGUUAGAAACGUCUUAGUUACUAUCUAUCUUUUUUAAUGUCCAUUAUAGUGUUCCAUAAGGUUGAACCCGCCUUGAUUUGGAGCAAUCCUAAGUUCCUAAUAUGGAUGGACUAACCUUCGCAGAAAGUCAUCAACUUGAUGGUCCCGGGACCUCCAUCGCCCUUGAAGACUUCAAUGCUCUUGAUGUCUUGUGGGAGGACCUUGUUGAUGAGGUUAUCGGCGUCAAGGAGAGUGGCCUCAAACAUCUCGGCCGGAGGGAUUGGGGACGUAAGUGAUGACACCCAUGACUGGAUCCGAACAAAGGUGCAGAAACUGAGAAGAGGGUGAUGAUUAGGAAAGACUUAGUAGUGAUGAAUUUGGUCUCUAGGACUUGGGAGUGAAGGAAGGAGGCCGAAUUGAAGAAGACAUAUGUAGAGAGACUGAGUGUGAAGGGUUAUGAUUUCUGAAUAUUUUCUUCUUUCUCAGGUGGGUUUUGCAGAAAAUAAAUAAUUUAAAAAAUAUUUUCCUAAAAUUAAUCGUCAAAUUUGGAUAGUGUUUCCAAGCAAGAGUUAUUUGGUGAGUGUGCUGCAUAUUGUAAAUUGAUCUAAAUCCAUAUAGAACUCACAAGAAUUACAAGCCUAUAUCUCCUUAAUAUAAAUACGAUGAAAAAAUGCUACCUCAUUUCCGAAUUUUCGUCAAAAUUGUGCUAUAUAUACUAUGUUAAUCUAAAUUGCUAAAUUCAAUGGGCUCACGUGGGAUCCAUACAAAACUCACCAGAGUUAAAAGUUUUGAUUCCGCUUAAUAUGAAUACAGUGCACUUUCGUCAAAAUUGUGUUGUCUAUACUAAAUUGAUUUAAAUCACUAAAUCUGAUGGGUUCAUGUGAGACCCAUAUGGAACUUACUAGAAUUAAAAAUCCAAAUUCAGCUUAAUAUAAAUACAACCUAGCUCAUUUAUGAGUCUUCAUUAAAAGUGUGUUGUAUGUCCUACAUUGAUCUAAAUCGCUAAAUAUGAUGGGUUUGCGUGGGAUCCAUAUAGAACUUACUAGAAUUAAAAGUCCAAAUUCCCCUUGAUAUAAAUACGACACUACCUCAUCUCCAAGUCUUCGUCAAAAUUCUGCUAUAUGUACUAAGUCAAUCUAAAUCGCUAAAUUUGAUGGGUUCACGUGGGAUCCAUACGAAACUCACUGACAUUGAUUCCACUUAAAAUAAAUAUGAUGCUCUUUCAUUGAAAUUGCGUUGUAUGUACUAAAUUGAUUUAAAUCACUAAAUAAGAUGGGUUCAUGUGGGACUUAUAUGGAACUCACUGGAAUUAAAAGUCCAAAUUCCACUUAAUAUAAAUUUGACCCUAGCUUAUUUUCGAGUCUUCGUCAAAAGUGUAUUGUGGGUUCAAGUGAGAUCUAUAUGAAACUCAUUGGAAUUAAAACUCCAAAUUUCUCUUACUAUAAAUAUGAUGCUAUCUCAUUUCCGAGUUUUCAUCAAAAUUAUGUUGUAUAAGCUAAUAUACGGGUUUGUUUUAUUAUUAUGACUUUUGAGAUUCCCUUUCAUGGAUCAGUUUGAUAAAGAAUCGAAAUUUCCUUUUGACCCAAAAAAAAAAAAAGUUAAUCUAAAUCACUAAAUUUUAUGAGUUUACAUGAGACCCAUAUAAAACUCACUAAAAUUAAAAGUCUAGAAUCCACUAGAUAUAAAUACGAUGCUAGCUCAUUUCCAAAUCUCCAUCAAAUGCCUUUUUAUCAUCAUUUUGAAGCUUCUGAUCGCACCCCACUCUGUCACACGUGAAUUGGGAAUGAUUUUCGACGCCAAAGUCUUCGUUAAAUCUCAUAAAGAUUGAGCCAACGUGGAACAACAACUCAAUUGUAAGCAUCGGGGUUUUGCAAGAGAUGGGCUCCAAUGGCUUUCAACAUUCCCAUGGCCUUCUAUUUGCUAGCCUUGUUCUCGAACCUGUCCUUGGCGAAGUACUUGCUCGUGCUCUUGCACGUGCACCCUCUCUGUCUGGACUUGAUCUCGUUCGAGAUCUUCUCUAGCACGUCGCCCUCCACAAUGAUGUAAGCGUGCGGGAGCUUUCCUUGUCCAGCUUGUCGACUGGUGCUUCACCGAGUUGAACCGUGUAGCCGCGACACAGAAAACUGUAGUCAGCUCCCACGUUAGUCUUAUCUAAGAAUGUCAGGCAAAUAUGUUGACAUCACAUGUUGAUGUGUGAUCAAAAUGAGUGAAAUUAGAAGACGCGCAGGUACUCGCCUUCGCCGAAAACGAUGCGAUGGUGACGGGACCGCCGUCACCUUCAAGGGUGACAAAAUCCAGAUUGGCUUGUAGGAGGAGCUUGGGGAUGAGAUUUUUAUCAAGAUCAAAUGCCUUGAACAUUCGUGCAGGUGGGAUGGAAUGCGUCUUAGCCUAAGAUUUCCAAGUCCCAGGGCAAGAGAUGUGAGAUUAUGUUGAAAUGCCCUUUAAAUGAUUCUCAAUCUCCUCGUUUAGUAAUCUAAAUCAGCAUCACAAUGUUCUUAAAUAAUACAAUAAAAAAAGAGGACAAAAGGCAUGGAUCUCAAGCCCAAAUUAUACUUAUUAGCAUGCGAGAGACCUUUGAAUGCUGACACCCUUGAGGGUGGGAAUUCACUAAAUUAUAAUUUAAAUAUUCUAACGGCGCCAACGGCUCGGACAGGAAAGCUUGAGUACGUGCGGAUAAUUCUUGCGCAACGAAAUGCAUGGUAAGUCACGAAUCGAGACUCAUCCGCAUACACGCUAUUGCGACCAUGACCAUGAAUACCACUUCCUUGACCAGUUGGCCAGUCGGAGGAGGAAGAUGUGGGUUGAGCAUAUCCUAUAGUGGCACAUUUGAGUCUUUGAAUAAUGUCGACAUUUGUGUCAUUUGUAGGGAAGAGAGAAGAUUCCGGGAUGCUUCCUCAUCAUUCUCUAGCAUCGGUACUUUUACUGUUGACUCUGUUUCAUGAAAGAAGAAUGAAUCAAUGUUUUGAUCACAACCUCAAGUUGCCUACAAAUUCCAAAUUUUUGAGAUUCUGUUAAUACAUACCACUUUUCAAAAUCUGUACUUGCUCUUCCUAAAAGUCUUGUUAGAAGUAUUGGAUGAAUCCAAAUUCAAUAUGUCAAUUGAAGGUAUUUGAUCAACCCGAGACCAUAGGUACAGGGGGAAUGUACUGAUUAGAUUUGAUCAUGUAGCUUACCAGGAACCAUGUAGCCAUAAGAUCCAGCCACUGGGAUCCAAUUCGACGAAUCCGAAUUCAAGAGCCUCACUGUCCCAAAAACCAAAAGCCAAGGCUCGAAGUCCGACUCGAGCAAGAUGUUGUUCAACAUCAUGUUCCGAUGGACAAUAGGCAGUGAGCAAUUGUGAUGCAAGUAGGCGAUCACGGGAGCCACGCAUUGAACAAUCUUCACUCUCUUAACACAAGUCCAAUUCAACUGCUCCGCUUCCUCCAUGCAAGACCUUUGCCAAAGUUCACAAAAGAUUGGAUGAUGUCCCUGCGGUUAACCACCACUUUUUUUUACCAUGACGAUGUGGCCGCUGGCCUAUUCGGCCUUGUAAACGCUUCUGAAUCCACGUUUUCCGAUGCAGUACUCUCCAUUGAAGCCGUUGGUGGCCUUGGCAAUAUCGUUGAAUGCAAACUUCAUUCCCCUUUCCCAUAUGAUUUCACGUACUUCAUAAGAUUUCUUAUCUCUUCAUCGAGAUGCUUGUUUCACCGCCAAAGCACCAAAAUCAGAGCAAUAAGAGUCACGAGAAGUAGUAAGCAGCAAACGCAACAAUCACAUUAAUCAGAACCUUUCUCCGAUGGUCAGUCGAUUUACUGCUCGACCCACAUGGAGACAUUCCGUCGCGUUUCCUCACAAGCCCGGAUUUGCAAUAAAAGUACUUCCUAGUUAUUGUUGGAAGAGGCGACCACCAAGAACUGCGCCUGUCAACUUGUUGUACAAGAAGCCCAUGAAGCUUAAACUGCUCAUGCUGGUGAGAGUAGCUGGGAUCGUACCCAACAAAUCGUUAUGCAAAACGUUGAGAUUUUUCAAUUUAGUGAGCUUUGCUAAAUUGGAAGGAAUUGAUCCUACUAGUGAAUUGUGGCUCAGGUCUAGUGGUUCUGUAGCGUGAACGAGUUCCCCAGCUCUGGCGACAUGACACCCAACAGAUUGUUGUUGCUCAAGUUCAGGCUCAGUAAAUUCUCGCAAUUUGCUAAUGCUUUUGGUACGAUCCAUAGAGAAGGGAUGUACUUGCCGUAUUGUGGUUUAUGAAAGAUUGUGCCACAUUGAUAACUUUAGAUGUUAAUCCAAAUUCGAAAUAUCAGGCCAAAUUUUGGUAUUUUAUUGGCCAUUUGGCAUUUCAUUUGUAACUCAUGAAUUCUCUCCUCGUAAAAAAAUUACUAAAUUAGAGAAUUUCAUUCUACAAGCCUUGUAUAAACAUGUAGCAUAGUUUAUCAAAUUCCACAAAACCACUGCACCAGAUUCCUAUCACACCUUUUAUUCUCUUAUUCUCAGCAAAGACAAGAACAACAAUACUCACCAGCCCAACAUGCUUAGCUCCAAACAGAGUGACUCAAACUCUUCUUGUCUCCUUUUCAGUAUAGCACAACCACACAUAUUUAACGCAUUACGUAAACAAUACAAGAUAGCGAAAAGAUAGGCUCAGUAGGCAUCAGGGUUUGCCAAGAGAUAAGCCUCGAUGCCCUCGUACAUCGCGGACACCUUCUCUUUCCAGGUGUUGAUCUCCUCCGCGGUGAAGUAACUGUCCGUGCACUUCAACAUCGAGCCUCCCAAAGGCAACGCGUUGAUCUUCACCUCAUGGGUGAUCUUCUCGAAGGUGGUGCCCAGCAUUUCGCUCUCGAUGAUUGAGUAGCGGUAGGUGAAGUUCUCCUUGUCCAGGGCCUCGACCUUGUGCUUCGCUGUCUUGAACGGAUUGCCUAUCAAUGUAACAAAAAGUCACACUCACAUUUAGAACUCGCAGGUUUCAAUAUCACGAGCACCAAUCUUCAUGGUGUCCAUCAGGCCAUUUAGGAAUUAACCCAAUUGUUCCGACCGCAAUCCAAUACAAUUGACUUAGACAUAGCCUGACUUUGCCUGAUCAAAAUUGAGUCACAUAAUCACUUGUGUAAAGUUAAACGGUUAGAAACAUCUUAAGUAAUCGAGUCAUAUUUCUAUCUUUUUCCAUAUUCAUUUUAGUGUUCCAUAAGGUUGAACCUACCUUGAUUCAAAGCAAUCCUAAGUUCCUAAUACGGAUGGACUAACCUUCGGCAAAAGUCAUCAACUUGAUGGUCCCGGGACCUCCAUCGCCCUCGAGGACUUCAACGCUCUUGACGGCUUGUGGGAGGACCUUGGGGAGGAGGUUAUCGGCAUCGAGGAUAGCGGCCUUGAACAUCCUGGCCUGGGGAAUGGGGGAUGGGAUAUCGAAGUGAAAAGUGAUGACACCCAUGACCGGAUCUUACUAGAGUUGCUGAAACUGAGAAGGGGGUGAUGAUCUGGAAAGACUUGAGUAGUAGUGACGAAGUUGGUCUCUGGGACUUGGGAGUGAAGAGAAGAGGCUGAAUUGAAGUUGACAUAUAUAGAGAGAGGGAGAUUGAGUGUGAAGGGUUCUGAUCACUGCAUAUUUUUUUCUUACUAAGAUGCAUUAUAUUUUGCGGAAAAUAAAUAAUUUAGAAAAUAUUUUCCUAAAAAUAAUCACUAAAUUUAGAUAGUGUUCUGAGCAUAAGUUAUUUGGUGAGUGUGCUGCAUGUUCUAAAAUGAUCUAAAUUGCUAAUUUAAUGGGCUCACUAGAAUUAAAAGUCUAGAUUCCCCUUAAUAUAAAUACGACACUACCUCAUUUUCAAGUCUUCAUCAAAAUUGUGUUGUAUAUAAAUAUGACCCUAGCUCAUCUCCGAGUCUUUAUCAAAUGUGUGUUGUAUGUCCUAAAUUGAUCUAAAUCUCUAAAUCUAACAGGUUCACGUGGGAUAAAUGUGGAACUCACUAAUUAAAAGUCUAGAUUCUCCUUGAUCUAAAUACAAUGCUAUGUCAUUUCGAAGUUUUCGUCAAAAUUGUGUUGUAUAUACUAAGUUAAUCUAAAUCGCUAAAUUUGAUGGGUUCAUGUGGGAUCCAUAGGAAACUCACUGAAUUAAAAGUUUAGGUCAACUUAAUACAAAUACAGUUUUCUUUCAUCAAAGUUAUGCCGUAUGUACUAAAUUAACCCAAAUUGCUAAAUCUGAUGGGUUCAUGUGGGACCUAUAUAAAACUCACUCGAAUUAAAAGUCAAGAUUCUCCUUGAUAUAAAUACGAUGCUAUGUCAUUUCAAAGUUUUCGUCAAAAUUGUGUUGUAUAUACUAAGUUAAUCUAAAUUGCUAAAUUUGAUGGGUUCAUGUGGGAUCCAUAGGAAACUCACUAAAUUAAAAGUUCAGGUCAACUUAAUAUAAAUACGGUUUUCUUUCAUCAAAAUUAUGCCGUAUGUACUAAAUUAACCCAAAUUGCUAAAUAUGAUGGGUUCAUGUGGGACCUAUAUGAAACUCACUCGAAUUAAAAGUCAAGAUUCUCCUUGAUAUAAAUACGAUACUAUGUCAUUUCUAAGUUUUCGUCAAAAUUGUGUUGUAUAUAAAUAUGACCCAAGCUCAUUUCCGAGUCUUUAUCAAACGUGUGUUGUAUGUCCUAAAUUGGUCUAAAUCACUAAAUCUAAUAGGUUCACGUGGGAUCCAUGUGGAACUCACUCAAAUUAAAAGUCUAGAUUCUCCUUGAUAUAAAUACGAUGCUAUGUCAUUUCUAAGUUUUUGUCAAAAUUGUUUUGUAUAUAAAUAUGACCCUAGCUCAUCUCCUAGUCUUUAUCGAACGUGUGUUGUAUGUCCUAAAUUGAUCUAAAUCGCUAAAUCUAACAGGUUCACGUGGGAUCCAUGUGGAACUCACUUGAAUUAAAAGUCUAGAUUCUCCUUGAUAUAAAUACAAUGCUAUGUCAUUUCUAAGUUUUCGUCAAAAUUGUAUUUUGUAUAUAAUAAGUUAAUCUAAAUCGCUAAAUUUGAUGGGUUCAUGUGGGAUCCAUAGGAAACUUACUAAAGUUAAAAGUUCAAAUCAGCUUAAUAUAAAUAUAGUGCUCUUUCAUCAAAUUACGUCGUAUGUACUAAAUAACCCAAAUCGCUAAAUCUGAUGGGUUCAUGUGGGACCUAUAUAAAACUCGCUGGAAUUAAAAGUCUAGAUUCUACUAAAUAAAAAUUAGGCCCUAACUCAUUUCCGAGUCUUUGUCAAAAGUGUGUUGUAUGUCCUAAAUUGAUCUAAAUUGCCAAAUCUGAUGAGUUCACAUAGGAUCCAUAUUGAAUUCACUAGAAUUAAAAGUCCAAAUUCCACUUAAUAUAAAUAUGACGCUAGCUCAUUUCUGUUUCUUCAUCAAAAUUGUGGUAUAUGUACUAAGUUAAUCUAUAUCGCUAUAUUUGAUAGGUUCAUGUGGAACCCAUAUGAACCUCACUAAAAUAAAACGUCCAAAAUCGAUUAAAUAUAUACACUACUUUAACUCAUUUCUAAGUCUCCAUCAGGCGCCUUUUUCUCAUCUCUUUGAAGCUUCCGAUCUCGUGCCAUUCCGUCACAUGUGAAUCGCGAAUGAUUUUCCACGCCAAAGUCUUUGUUAAAUCUCAAGACUUAAAAAUACGAAUGUGAAGUAACAACUGCGUGUCAAAUGCAGAAAAUUCAUAUGUGAAAAAGUUGACCGUCCCUUCUUGAGUCAACUGUUCUCUUCCUCGAUAUGCUUUUCUGAUCUGGCCUCACAGAUAGAUGGGCAAAGCGGCGCAUUCAUAUCUAUAAUCUCGCGGCAGUUUCAACUCUGUUAAAAGAAUGCCGAGAUCUUUACAAGAUGUUUGACAAGUGUCUUUGAUGACAGCAUGCAGCAUAUCUACCGCUUCAAAACAUAGUUACGGUUCAGUCUCGAUUGUUAUUUUUCUUGAAAGAGACACGAAUGAAGACAUAAAUUAUCGUGGGAGAUAGAAAGAUCCAGCCAACAUGUAACGACAACUCAAUCGUAAGCAUCAGUGUUUUUGCAAGAGAUGGGCUUCUAUGGCUUUCAACAUUCCCAUGGCCUUCUCUUUGCUGGCCUUGUUCUCGACCCGGUCCACGGCGAAGUACUUGCUCAUGCUCUUGGCCAUACACCCUCUCUGUCUGGACCCGCCUCAAACUUGAUCUCGUUCGGGAUCUUCUCUAGCGCGUUGCCCUGGACGAUGGCGUACGCAUGCGCGAGCUUUCCUUGUCCAGCUUCUCGACUGGUGCUCCACCGAGUUGAACUGUCUAGCUGCGAGACACAGACAACUGCAGUCAGCUCCCACGUUAGCCUCAACAAAGAAUGUCGGCAAAUGUCCUCUUUGACAUCACAUGUUAAUGCGACGCAAUCAAAAUAAAUUAAAAUAGAAGACAGCGCAAGCACUGGCCUUCGCCAAGGAUGGCGCCGGGACCCCCAUCACCUUCAGGGAUGACAAAAUCCUUAAAGGCUUGUGGGAGGAGCUUGGGGAUGAGAUCAUCGUCAGGAAGAACGGCCUUCUUGCAGGUGGGAUGGAAUCGUCUUCACCUAAGAGUUCCAAGUCCCACGGCAAGAGAUCUGUGAUAUUAUGUUGAAAAUGCCCUCUAAAUGAUUCUCAAUCGCCUCGUUUAGUAAUCUAACUCAACAUCACAUUGGUCUAAAUCAUAUAAUAAAGAAAGAGGACAAACGGCAUGGAUCUCAAGCCCAAAUGAUACUUGUUAGCAUGCGAGAGAUCUUUGAAUGCUGACAACCUUGAGGGAGUCACUAAAUUAUUAUUAAAAUAUUAUAAUAGAACCCAAUGGCUUAGACAAGCAAGCUUGAGUGCAUGUGGAUAAUUCUUGCUUGAUGAAAUGCAUGGUAGGUCGCGAAUCGAGACUCGUCCCCAUGCACAUCCACUCCCUCGGCUAGUUGGCCGGUCGGAGGAGGAAGCCGUGGGUCGAGCACAUCCUUCAAUAGCACAUUUUAGUCUUUCAAUAAUGUCGACGUUUGUGUCAUUUGUAGGGAAGAAAGAACAUUCAAUGGAUGCUUCCCAUCAUUCUCUAGUGUCACUACUUUUACUGCUGACUGUGUUUCUUGAAAGAAGAACUAGCCAGGGUUUUGCUCACAACGUCAAGUUGUCCACAAAUUCCAAAUUUCUGUGAUACUUUAAAACAAACCACUUUUCAUAAUCUAUACUUACUCUUCCUAAAAGUAUUGUUAGAUUUAUUGAAUGAAUCCAAAUUCGAUUUGUCCAUUAACCGCGGAGUUACUACUAAUUUUAUUUUUCAAGAAGAAGAAUGAAUCAAAGUCAUGAUCAUAAUGUCAAGUUGUACCCAAAUUCCAAAUUUGAACGACACUCUUAACACAAACUACUUUUCAAAACCGGUACUUGCAAGAAUCCUAAAAGUCCCGUUAGAAUUAUUUAAAUGCAAAUUAUCGAUCUGAGACCAUUUGUACCUGCGAAAUGUUCGAUUAGAUUCCAUCAUCUAACUUACCAGCAACCAUGUAGCCAUAAGAUCCAGCCUCAAAUAAGGCCGGAAACUCGCAUGAACCGGAAAGCAGCAGCCCAGUCCGGCGAGCCCGAAACAGGGCAUGGGCAAAAAAAAGCGCGGUCGGCCGAGAGUCCCUACCCAGCUCGCGGCGUCGGACGGCGGACGAGCUCGAUAGAUCGGGCUAUGCCCGUCCGCCUCGCUCGUCUCCUAGCCGGGAUCCUCGGGAAGCCGACCCCGAAUCGGGAAAAACCAAGACCGCCCGAAGGGGUACCUACCAUGGCCUCGAAGUGGACAAGGAGCGGCGGCGGAUCAUCAGUUUUGGUUCGGAAGUGGAGCCCAACAGCAGCUCUCUCAGUCGCGUCCUCGGAUCCGAAUCCCUCUCGCCUCGUACUUGACCCCCUCCGAUUUCUCCCUCCUCCCCCCGACCUCUGGCCUUCGAUUUAUAGGCUGAGAAGGCCGGUCGGCGGAGGCGCUUCGGCCGCCGGUCCUUCGCGCGCCGACCGGCCCCCCUUGGCUGAACCAGCAUCACAUCACCCGUCGCCUCCAGCGCCGCCUGCUCUGCUUUGCGCCUGCUCUGCUCUGCUCUGCUUCUACUUCUGAUUCCGUCCUCGCUGGCGUGAGGAAGAAGCGGGAAGGAGGAAGGAGGAAGGAGGGGCCGGGCCGGGGUGAGAAGCACAAGCAGAGUGGGCCCUGGGCCCACUCGGGGAACAAAGGAGAAAAGAGGGGGGCUAAGGCGAAGGCCCAGCCGCCGUGGGCCCUUUUUUUAUAAAUAAUAUUAAAUAGGGCUAAAUAAGAGAAAAUAAAAUGCAAAUGAUAUUUAUGCUUAUAUGAUGUGAAAAUCGUUUUUAUUAGUGUCAAAUUGAUUCCAAAUUUUUUAUAUAAUUUUAAUUAUAGAUAUUUAGUCAAAAUUUAAGUAUCAAUAAAUAUAAAUCUCAAACUGCAAGAGUAAAAAUAAAAAAAGAAAAGAAUUAAAGAAGAGACAAGUGCGGUUGCACCUUUAUCCCAUCAUGUGACUGAAAUUGUUUAAGAAAGUAAAAAAAAUUGGGAUAAGUGCAUUAGAAAUCUUAAAAAUUAUCAUGAAAAUGCAAUUGAGUCAUAAAACUUUCAAAAAGUGCAAUUAAGUCCUAAAAAUUGGUACGAAAGUUCAAUCAAAUCCUAAAACUUUCAAAAGAUUCAAUAAAAUCUAAAAACUUGUUUCGAAAGUACAACCGAAUCCUAAAACUUUCAAAAAUGCAAUCAAUUGAAGGACUUAGAUUGAACCACUUUAAUAAGUUUUAGGACCUGAUUGUAUUUUUUGAAAUUUUUAGGACUUAAUUGCAUUUUAUAACAAGUUUUAUGACUUAAUUACCUUUUUUAAAAGUUUUAGAACUUAAUUACAUUUUCAUGACAAAUUUUAGGACUUCAAAUGUACUUAUCCCUAAAAAAUUCAAUGAACAUCACAUGCUCUAGCUUUAAUUGAAUUAUUGGGGGAGGGGGGUUAUUUUUUCCCUAUAAAAAGAACUCGCCACACGACGAUAAUUGGGGGUUUUAAUUUUUUUGGAGGACCUCGAAGGGAUUUUAUUUUCUCUCCCAGUUUCUAGGUGAAGAAAUUCAAGAAAAAGAGAGAAAAAUUCCCCUUCGUUGAAGGGAAAGUCAACCAAAGGGUUUUUCCCUUGUGGUUUUUUCCUUUUGCUGAAAGUACAAGGGCAGUAGAAUUGAGAAAAUAUUGGGUACCUUAAAAAUGCCAUGUAAUUUGUGCUCUGAACCAUUUAAAGUGUGACAUAUGUUUGUGUGUCAAUCCAUGUCGUCCCACUUCUCGAUUUCAAACCAACGCACGGGAGGUUCUCUCUCUGCUCUCUCAAGCAUAAGCCCUGGCCCACCUCUUUGCAUGCUCUAACGCUCUCUUUCCUUUGCUCUCCUUUGCAGAUCAUCUCUCUCCUCUUUCUCCUCUCUGUCUCUCUCCUCAUUCUCUGUUCCGUUGCGAGGAGAACAAAAUUGUGGAGGGUUAAAGGAAAACAUAAAAGUUGAGCCCCUCCGCCUCCACUAGUUGCUUCCAUCGCCUCCCUCUCACGACAUUUGCUCUGCUCUGCUCUGCUCUCUCUCCCCUCCAUGAAGUCGUGCCUCUCUUCCAGCGAAAUGUGACGCCGAUGGUCCUCCACCUCCACCUCCACCGGUUGCCUCCAUCGCCCUUGACUCCGACGCCGAUGCCCCUCCGCCUCCCUCUCACAACCUCUACUCCACUCUCUCCCUCUUUCCUCUACGGAGCGCCCUUAUUGGCCAACCCUGAUGCCGACGAACCCCUGCUCACGUUUUGGCCUCCCUCUCAGCGAGUGAAGGUCGCUUGCUCUUUCUGUCUUUCCUCUGUGAAGCACCCCCCAUUCCUGAACGUGGACGCCGCUGACACCGAUGCCGUCGCCUUCCUAAGCCCCACCGAUAGCCACCCCACUGGCGAUUCCCGUACGUCCAAAGGUUCUUUUUUCUUUUCUUUUCUUUUUGGAUUCUACUUGGUAGAAUUCGGUAACAUGUUUAAGUUUAUAGAUACAUUUGCAUUAGGUACUGCUUUAUCUUACUUGUUGCUGACUUGCUGUGUUAUUCAGAUAGUGAAGAUUGGAAGAAAGUGAAACGGUGGUAUCUUUUGAGAUUGUUUGCAUAUAGUCCUCCUAAGGGAUUAGAGGCUUCUGAGCCUAAAUUGGUCACUCCAUGCUUUUAUUUUCUCCCAAAAUCACAUGUCUGUUGGAGAAGUUGAUCCUUGCGUGCUUCUGAAUAGUCAUUUGCGUUGCAAUUCCAAAGGUGUAACUCAGUUGUGAAGGAUAAGAUCAAAAUAUCUCUCUAAGAUCUACCUUCUUGGUCCACUGAUCUAUUAGAAAUAGGUAGUUUACUUAGGCAAAUUCAUUGCAGCUUGGGCUGUUUAAACCAACAAGUACCUCUUAUUUUGUUCAUGUGCCAACGAGAGAUAUGGUGGGACAUCCUCACAAGCAUGGAGCCAGAAGCUUAUCUCUCUGUUUGCUUUGCGAGAGAGCCAUUGAAAAUUGCAGGUUUCUUGUGUUUAGCUGAAUUUGACAUACAGAGACUAACCAAAUUUGUGAAGAUGACUAAUUUCACGUUGUUGUUUUUUUAAGCAUAAACAAAGGUUUGAUUUGAUGUUUAUGGUUUUAUCCUAAUUCCACUUAUUUAGAAUCUCUUGGAUAUUGGACAGGGUUAGACUUUCUUGCUUUAUCUCGUCAUAGUAGAUGCCAUGCACUGGAUUAUAUUAUUUAGCAUGCGCCGUUUCUCUGUAAUUAGAGCUGCCUUUUGUUCAUGCUAAACUUUUGAACAACUGCUUUGCCUUACCUAUAUGAACUACAGAUCCUGAUAGACCUAAGAAUGACAAGGGAACCAUUCUUACGGACACAAUCCAGGUGCUGAAGGAUUUAAACACGGAAGUUAACAAAUUGAAAGCUGAAUGUGCAGCUCUUACUGAAGAAUCUCGUGAGGUGAUCACUUAGUUGGCAUUUGCUUAGCUCUUCUCACCGCAUCGGCUUGCUCGCGAAGGAAAAUGUUAUGAAAGGAAAAUGCAAAUCAUGCUCUUGGGCUGUCUCUAUUCUUUUAAGCUUUUAAAGCAUUUGUCUUCGUAGUUUGUCCUCUUCAAACAAGUUCUUAACAUCUACAUCUACAUAAACAGAGUAUCCUAGAAGCAUCCAUUUCAUGAUCAGCAUUCCAUGCUAAAUGCAAAUCAAGUGGUGCAAUUCUCAGCAACCCAACAUCAGGGGAACCAACUAUAACAAGUAAAUUCUCUAGGCUAUGCCACAAAUGAGCACGCGACUUCACCUGUGUCCACAAUUAUUGGUAUCAACGGAGCCGCCGCGCAGACCGACCUCGCAGUCACUGCCAUUUCCGGCGGCCUGAAGACAUUCAGAAGAAACGGCUCAAAGAUUCGAACUUUAGCAUUCGAAACUCACAUACCCACUUCACAUGCAAAAGCGGGGAAUCGCAACCGGGCAUCAGGACGACGCCCUGAUCCUCUAUCAGCCGGUGCACGCGCGUCUGCCGCGUCGUCAUCCUGACCGUCGGGGAAGAAUGAGAAGUGAGAUGGGGCAUGUUUGUUGCCGAGCGCAGCUUGAGGACAAAUCAGUGAGAAAAGUGUCGGAAGAACAUUGAAGUUGUUGACAAAGGUGGAGUGUGAAGAGUUGUUGUCUCGUGGGACAGAAUACCCAUGAGAGAGAGAGAGAGAGAGAGAGAGAGAGAGAGAGAGAGAGAAGAGAAUCAAGACCCGUGAAGCACAGACAAAAAGUAAUAGAGCUUGUACACAAAUCAAUAAUGUAAAUGAAAAUCAUGAGGGAUGGAUGAUAGCAAGGGGAAAAAGCCUAUGAUGUAAUGCUUAAUGCUUGAUCAUAUAGCACAUGGUGAUGCUAACACGUUGUCAAUUUGUUUUUUGGAUUGCAUAUAUGGCAUUCGGAACGCUCAAAGGCAAAGAAUGCAAAAUCAUUUAAUUCAAGUGCAUCAGGUUCCGUAUAAAAAGGCACCUGACGUUGUAUCUAAAGUUUUUUUAGGAGGAAGACAUAAUUCCAACAAGAAAAUAAUUAUCGCAUUUGCAUGAAGCGUGUCUAAUCAUUCAGCCAAUUAUCAUACCAUCAUGAUUGAGGAUUCACAAGAUUCUUUGCUGUAUUUAGAACUUCGCCGCAUUUGUAAUCUCGUGCAAUUAAUAAAGGAGAGCAUUCUUCUUCCAACAACCAUGACAUAAUUGAUUGGAACAUAUGCCUGAAACUUGAACAAUGAGGGCACAUUCAUUACUUUUUUAAGGGUUUAGCUCCAGCAGCCAUGACAUAAUUGAUUGGAGCUCAGAUUUUGCAUCCAAACUAUCUUGCGACUUUUGACCUGCCAUGAGGCAUAAGCCAGGUUGUACUCCUGCAUGAGUCACUCGCAUCGUGUAGUAGUGAUGCCCUGGUGGUUAUUAGAUAAAAAGAGUCUCCAGAGAUGCUGUCGUCAAGAGGUAACGAAUCAGUGUACCGAUGGAGAUGCGAGCUAGCAUACGCUUUUGGGUGUUCCCAUCAUCAUUGACCGGAGCAAAAAAAGGCGAAUUCCUACAUUCGCUAUUCUAUUGGCCAUGAUUCAACGCGAUGAUGAAUGGCUCUUUAAACCAAGAAGCGUCACCCUAAAUAAUAUGAUCAAUUUAUCUUCGUUAAUGGCUGCUCAGCAUACAUCUCUAAAUCCUUCACAGAAAAAGCAGGUGCAUUGCUCAUCUCUGAGAGAGACUGAAAAAUGUUUACACUUGAUUCAUUUGCGAUGCCAAAAAAAUUGGGAAAAGAGAAGGCCUUACAAGUAAAAAAGCAUUGCCCAUUCUGUAAUAGAACAAACCCUUCAUGAAUGCUGUCACCAGCGACCUCCUCGAUCAGCACGGCAUCCGAUAUCUCUCUCACAUCAUCCUCCGCAAGAUGGGGUUCACUUCACGUGAGACGAAAUCGGCUUCUCCUUUCUUCACCGCCUUGUCAGCAGCUUCCAUUAUUAUGUGUCCCAAGCUCGCUCCGAGAGAGAAAGAGAGAGAGAGAGAGAGAGAGGGAAAGGGUCAGGAAAGGGGGAGGAAGUUAUGAAGGUAUGGAGGAAGGCAGGAGGGGAGGGGAGAUGGGCAAAGAUGGUGGAGAGUGUGGCCUGCCCAGAUACGCGCAGAAAGAAAGAGAGAGAUGGUCAGCUGCAACCAAAACGGCAAAAAAAGACCACGAUCUAUUAACCCCUUGCGGAACAUAAACAAAUCAGCGAGUAGGAAAACGGGGUCGCAAUCCCCGGAGAAAGAUCUCAUUCAAGACAGACCGACGGGCAAGAAAAAGGGGUCGCGGUCCUCGAAGGGAGAUCUCCACCAGGUCAAAUCGCACCUCGUGCUUCUGUUCGGGUCGCCAUCGCGUCCCUUGAUGGCCAAGGUCUGUUGCUGCUGGUUCUGCUUACUCUGAGCGAGCUUCUCGCUUGGGUCGUUGCUAAUGAGGAAGGAAGACGAAGGAAGGAAUCCCCGGAGGGAGAUCUCCGCCAGGCCGAAUUGCACCCGGUGCUUCCGCUUAGGGUCACCAUCGCGUUCCUUGAUGGCCGGGGCCCGUUGCUGCUGAAUCUGAGCAAGCUUCUUGCUUGGGUCGUCGCCGAUGAGGGAGGAAGACGAAGGAAAGAACGUGAGGGGAGAGAGAGAGCCCUUGAAAAUUGAAAAGAGGAAAGAGGUUUUUGUUGAGCGGGAGUGCGAAGGAAAGAACGUGAGGAGAGAGAGCGCCCUUGAAAAUUGAAAAAAGGAGAGGUUUUUCUUGAGCAGGAGUGCGCUUUUACUGUUCUGUCUUUUCUCCGUGCGUUCCCCAGAGGAGAGAGAGGGGAAGAAGGCUAUGGGUCCCAUGUGGACACGUGUUGCGCUCCCACCAUCUUCUUGUUUGCCUAGAGCGUAAGACGAACGCAAUAUUAUUCUCUCACCUCUCACGUCUCCAAAAAGGAGAGGAAGCAGAGGCAGCCAGCCCCGAGCGUCGACGCCGUUGUUUCUGCUCCGCCCCCCAGCCGCGACGCUUCCGCCUGCCGGUCUCCGCUGCACCGGUUGCCACAGUCGCUCCUCCAGCAACCCGCAGGCCACCCUCACGCCGUUCACCGCGCCGGCUACCACCGCUCGUCUCCCCGCGAAGCCACCGUUCCCUUGCCGAUCGCUGUUGUUGACCCGCGAUACCCCUGCUCGACUCCAUACGUCGCUCUGCCGGCCAACGCUGCUCCGCGCCCCCGAAGUCGCGACGCCGCCUCUGCCGGCCCCGCCUCUGUCCAGAUCUUCCGUGCCGGAACGCGACCCCGAGUCAUCGCGCGUCCGCGCGUCGCCACUGCUGCAAUCCGACACCAGAAGCCGCCUCUCCCGCGCCUGAGCGACCUGCAGCACCCAACGUCCCCCUCUCCUCUGCUGCUCGUGCCGCGUAACCAACAGGGUUACCCCUCGCCCGCGAGCUCGCACCGCCGCCCCGCCGUGCCGAUCCGCGACGAUCUGACGCCUCCGCGUUGCUGCUUCUGGCCACGUCUCCGCCAGCCACUGCCGUGCACCAUCGCCGACCUGCAGCUUCUACCCGAGCCCUCUGCCGCCAGCCUCCGCCUUCGAUCGACGCAGUUGCAGCCCAACGCCAGAAGCAGCAGCUCCCUGCUCCGUCGUACCUCAGUCACUGUUCUGCCUCGCCGUUCCCGUUCCACCCCAGCCGCGACGCAGCCUCUGCCGGACCGACGCCUGCUGCCCUGCCUCCUGCACCAGCGCCGACGCCCGAGCUCUAUCGCCGGGACUGCCGUCGCACCUCCCCGCCGCCGGUCUCCUCGCACACCGUGCCAGCGCUAGCCCGCCGAGCCGGUCCGCCUGCACGCCGGCUGCCGCCCUUCGCCGGAGCUCCGACCGCCGGCAGCUCCACCGCCCUUGGCCGCGCACCACCACAGCUGCCGAGCCUUGUUUGGAAAAAAAAGAAAAAAUCAAAUUAGGUAGGUUUAUUUUAUUUUAUUAGGUUGAUUUAUUUUAUCUUAUUUUAUUUUUUGAAAUAUUUCUCCAUGCAUAAUUAAAAUUCCCGGCAUACCACCUAAUUCGUAUAAAGUUUUAGAUGGGAUAAUUGAUUGAUAUCUUGAUGUUUAAGGUUUAAGAUCAAUUUAUUAAUUUUAUUAGCAAAAUAAUCAGGUUUAAUUAGAUAUCGUUUUUAAAUUCGAAUGAUGGAUAAUAUCUUUGAUGCCAUGGAUGAUUCGUUGUUUAUUUUUUUUAAUUGCUUUGUUUAUUGCAAAAAAAUACAAAAAAAAAAAUUUGUAUUUUGCAUAUCAUGUGGAUUAGAAUUGUUUUCUUAGAUAGAAUUGCAUGGUAGAAUAGUUAGAUUCUUUUCUAGUUAUAUUAAAAUGCUUGUAGUAUCUAGGUUAGAUAAUAUUUUUUGGAUUAAAUUACAUGACGAGAUAAUUUUCUAAGUUAAGAUAGGAUUCAAAUUGGUCUAUUCUUAACUUAAAAUAGAUAAUAUCUCACUUUAGUUAGAUUUUAUAUUUUAGUACUUUUAAUUACGAAUUUUUAUUUAAAAAAAUGCCAAAAAAAAAUCAUACGCAUAUCAUAUAGAAUUAGGUUCAUGAAAUGCACAUCAUUUAGUGUUUGUUGCUAGGUUCAUUUAAUUAGAAAUUAACCAUCAUUAGAAUUAAAUCAUUUGGUUAAUUUAGAUUGCACAUUUAAUUAUUGCAUUUUUUUAAUUUCGAAUUCAUGAGAAAAAUCCAAAAAAAUUGUCUUUGAAUAAAUUAAUUUCAUUUUCUAGGAUAGAUUGCAUGCUCAUUAAGCAAACACAAAAUAUUUCACGUCAUAUAGUUUAGGUCAUGUUUCCAUGUUAUAUCAUUUAAUGUUAGAUUAGUGGCAUGUAUUGCAUAAAUAAUUCUCAUUAAAUAAGUAAGAACAAAAAAAAAUUAAUUGCGUGUUAAUUAGAAAUCAUAUGUAGAACUGUCGAUGUGAAUUCUAAUCUAACCUUGCAAAUGCUUUUGAUGCCAUGAGAUAAGUCCUGAAAUUUAUUCAUUGCUUUAUCUGGGUAUUAAAUUAAUGGUUUGCACACUCGCAUGAUCAUUGAGAUAAAUUAAAAUCAAUUCAAGCUACUUGCCAAAUAUUUUUUCAAAAUAAAAGAAAAAUGUACCGAAAUUGCAUUAAAGAAAUCUAACGUAAUCAAGUCUCCGAACUCAUAAUCUCUAGUUUACAGAAGUAAAGUAAAUCUCCUAUUACUUUACUUGGAAUUCUAAUUGACUCAUCGAAAAUAGAUUAGUGACAACUCCUAAUUAAAAUUUGCAUAUUAAGAACUUGAACUUAAGUAGCGAAUUAGUAUGGGCUAGGGAGAGCCCGAGCUAUGUUUAGGCUUAGUAAUCUAUUAGCCAAAUCCUAGGUAGUGCAUCUGAAAUUUUGGUCGCGACAAAUGUCGUCAAUCAACUAUGAGAUGCCGAUGUCAAUGGAGAAGUUACUGAUAUUAAUGGUUGUCAAUGCCGAUAUUCCAGAAUUGAUACCGAUGAUUUUGUUUGGUGAAUUGAUACCGUUGACUGUUCGAUGCUCGAGUUAAUUAGAUUCUUUAUUGUAGCAUUGUUUUUGAGAAGUCUGUUCGUAUUUUUAUUUCAUGACUGUUCAUGUUUCUAAGUGUAAUCAAUGUUUUGUAAGUUCUUAGGAUUUUAUCACCUCAGAACAUUAGCUAUAUUUAUUAGUCAUUAGUUUAAGAGUUAUGUGUGAAGCAUAUAAAAGUGGAGGCCUGUAAUUGUUUUCAAUAAGGUGAAGAAAAGGUGAAAUAAACAAGAAGGAUAUAUGUCUCCUUCUCUUCUCUGUGUUGUGUUAGUGGGUGUUUCAGCUUUAAAUUAUCCCAUCAAGAUGUAGUCUGUAUUUGUCUUUUACAAAAACUCGAAAUUUUCUAGUUUUGAUGCCAUAUGAAAUUAUGAAGGAGCACUAUUAGCUAUUAUAGAAGUUUAGAUAAUUAGAUGGAUGCAUUAUUCAAGACUUAAUUGAUAUAACGUCUCUUUCACGACCUAUGUUCCUUUUCAACAGCUAGAUUACUUGCACAGCUUGGGAUCAAUGGAAGGAGAGCUAUCUAUAGAAGUGGAGGAUGGUGGAAUGAACAACUUGAUCGAAAUCUGGAGAGGUCGACGGGAGAUAAUGAAGAAUGCAUUGGCGGCUUCCGCGGGGGGACAAGAUCCGGCAAAAGCUUACGAAUAUGCUCGAAAACUGGCGCGUGUCAUCGAAGGCGGCAAGGUUGACGAGUUCCUUUCCAAGAUCAAUGUAAAUGAUCCAUUGUUGCGGGACAUCGAUUGGUCUGCCGUUUUAAAUUCCCGAUCUGAAGGCAACGAAUCACUGCUCCACAUGGCAGCAGCAAUCGAGAACGACGACAUCCUAAGGCUUCUGGUUGAUUAUGUUGGUGACCACCUCAUAACCGCCCAAGAUGAUCGGGGAAAUACCCCACUCCACUGGGUCGCUCGGUAUGGGGGAUCUACUGGAGCUGCAGAGAUGUUGAUUCACCGGGCAAGAGGCCUCCCCAACGUCGAGGACAAGAACCUCCUAUUGAGGAUGAAGAACAAAUGGGGAAACACCGCUUUGCACAUAGCCGUGCACGAAGGUCACGCCAACUUGGUGCGCUAUUUGUUGAGCGAAGAUUUGGAGCCCGUGUACUGGAAGAACGCGAAUGAGAAAUCUCCCCUGUACCUAGCCCUCGAGACUUACGACUCCGCUGUACAUGAGGCUUUAUUUUCACACUCGUUGGAACCAUCAAGGAUAGAAGGCUUGCCGCCCAUUCAUGGUGCCAUUAUACGUUCACGACACGGUACGUACCUAAAUCUAUUUACGUGGAAAUAUAUUUAUCUAUUUCUGGACUGACUCAUCCCAAAUCUGUGCAAUAACUUUUUGCUCUUACAAAAACCCCUUACCGGUUUUUACUUAAAAUUCCCUACCCUGCUUGUUAAAGUGGUUGGAUACCCAUCGGUUUAGCCGCAUUAUAAACGAAUUAUUCACAUUAGAGCAUAAUAGAUCGGCUUAAAUAUUACAAAUACAACCAUUUCACUAGAAACUCAUGUGUUGUCGAUCUUUGAUUAGAAAAGCUAUAAAGUGCAAAUAUUUAAGAUUGAUGACCAUGAAAAUCUGGAAUCUAACAAUGACGCUGUGUGCCAUGAACCAAAAUGAACAAAUGAAAGUUUAGGGCAUGAAUUAUAAACUGGUAGCAAACCUGUAGGCUGCGCAGGCGUGAUUUUUUCAUUGGAAAAAAAGGAGGUGAAGAUUCCAUCACUCUCAGCAAAUUGAUGGAACAUCGUAAACCAUUAAUUUGUUUGUGACAAACAAUCAAUAGGUUUUUAAGAAAUUAAGAAAAGUGGAUCUAAAUAAAGAAAUAUAUUUUUUAUUUUUUAUUUUUAAAUUAAUACAGUUAUCAUAAUCUUUGCAGAAAAAGCUGAUACGGUAGUGUAGCCUAUAUUACCUUGACCAUUAAAAAUAUUGAGAUAAAAUUCAUCAGACACAUGAUAAUCAAUUAUGUGAAAUUUUUUGGCUGCUAAUGCCACGUAUCCCAAGUUUACUACUUGAAGUGCAGCUAACGUUCAUUGAUCAUCAGAUUGGUAGAUGGCAUUUAGGUGUUACAGUCAUAUCGAAUAGAGAGAAUUGUCCAAAAAGUUAUAAAUGUGUCAAUUGUGUCAAUUUAACCUCUAUUUUAGUCCUAAACUUUUUAAGGAUUUACCAACUUAGUCCCUUCUAAACAAUUUCUAUUGGAAAUCGCUAACAUGGCGGUCUAGUCAAAGCUAGCCAUCCUACGUGAUGUUGAUCGCUUAUGUGGCUUUUUUACAAAAUAUUUUUUAAUUUUUUGCAUUUUUUCCUUUUCUUUUUUUUUAAUCCUUUUUUCCCUCUACCAGCCUCAGGCGAGGGCUACCCUCUAACCCUUGCAUAGAGCAACCCUUGCCCUUGCUCGACCUCCAUUAGGUGUCAACUAUGGAUGGUUAGAGAAGAGAAAAAGGAAAAAAAAAAAGAAAUUAGAAAAAGAAAAGGAUAAAGGUGGGCCCGGCGGAUCCUAGGUCACCAAAAAAAUAAAAGACAAAGGAAAUGAAAGGAAAAAGGAAAAAAAUUGCAAAAAUUAUCCGCAUUAGCAUUGGCUAUGCCAUGUAGGAUAUUCAGUACUACUAGACCACUAUGCCUAUGAUUUUCAACAAAAUUGGCUAGAAUGACUAAAAUGACAUAUCGUUAAAAUGUUUAUGAUUGAAUUGGCAAGUUAUUAAAAUUGUUAUGACUAAAUUGACACAACUGAAAGAUUUAAGACUAAAUUAAUCAUUAUACAAUAUAUUCAAAACUUUUUGGACAAUUUUCCCUAUCAAGUAUAAUUACAACCCUAGAUGCAGUAACUUUAUUUUUAUCCUGUCCCAAUUUAUUAAUCCGAGCACAUGUUAUUAUUUACAUUGCACGACGUAACAUGUUUGAGGCUCUCUUUUUGAACUGAACAUGCAAAACAAUUUCAAAUAGACAUAAAGUGAAAAUGCGUAACAAUGUAUUGUGUGAUGCAAAUAUUAAAUUAGCAUACCCAAUAAACGUAUGUGUCUAAACUUACGUUGCACUCAUUGAAUAGAUUAUAGAAGUCGACCUGCACACAUAACGUUCAUAAUCCAUUUAUAAAUGGCUUAACUUAUUUGUGAUAACACAAUUAAACCUAAUGCUACCAUAUUUAACCACGUUCCAUGUAGUGAACAUGCAUGUAGAAGGGCUGUUUCAUAGUUUGUCAGCUCAUAAUUCUAAUAAGCACUUUAGAAACUUUACAAAAGAUCCCAUUGAAAUUGGAUUUACUAUAUAUUUCUUAUUCUUACUGUCCAAUAUAUAAAAAUCCUUUUAUGAAGUACUACUGAUUGAAAUCUCGUAAUAAUAGUUCAGUUUGUUCUUCAUUGAAUGUAAAAGUAGAUGACAUUGUGGAAUGAAUCGAGCGUUGACAUGGGCUUUUGUAGAUAGGUACUUUAAUUAGGUUAUCAUGAUAGGCACUUUUUUUAAGGUUCAUAUCAAUUAAAUAAGGUAAGGUUAUUUCUUUAAAUCUAGUAAUAUUCUUUCACUUGGGAAAAUUAUCCAAAAAGUCCUAAGUCUAUUGCACUUUUGCCAAUUCAAUCACAAAUCAUUCAAUUUUGUCAAUUCAAUACUAAACAUUUUCACUUUUUGCCGAUUGAGUGUAUCCGGCUAAUUUUGACUAGAAUUUAUUGACAGGGAUAAUUUUUAAUAAUAAUUUAAUUCCUUUUGAAAUUUUUUGUACUUUUUUUCUUUUAUCUUUCUUUCUUCCCCCCUUUCUUCUUCCUUUCAUCGGUGGCUAGCUACCAACCACCGGUGAUGGCUAGCUACCGGCCAUGGCUGGGUGAGUUGACCUUGCUCGCCGUAAGUGAUGCCUAGCCAGGCAAGGCCAGGCCCUAGCAAGGGUUGGCCUCACCUAGGUUAGGCAAGACAGCCUCCUAGGUUAGGCAAGACCAACCCUUGCCCAAACUAGGCGAGAUCGCCUAGGCGAGGGUGAGCCCCCUUGUUCGGCCACAUCUUACCCGAGGCAUGUGAGGCUAGCUGGCUCGGCCAUAGUCGGUGGCUGGCACAAAAGGAAGAAGAAAGGAAAAAAGAAAAUGAAAAAAUAUUUUUAAAAAUUGUUUACAUUAGUGCCGACCAUCUUACAAGAAACCGCUAGUGUCCACGUCAGCGAAUUCCUAUCAAAAUUGGUUGGAUUGACUCAAUUAAUAAGAAGUAAACAUGUUUACGACUGAAUUGGCAUAAGUGCAAUAGAUUUAGAAUUUUUUGGACAAUUUUCACUCUUUCACUAAUGUAUCUAGAAUGUAACCGGUUACCCAUAUUGAAAUUUGUGGCCUGAAUUGCUUCGUCAAUUUCAAGAAUGACGGCAUCUGUCAUGCGAAUAGAAUAAAGGUGAAAUUCUUAAUUCAUGUUAUAUAUUAAUGUAAAAUAUAGGGGGCUCGACGACAAUUAGAAAAUUCCUAAUUAUCGUUGUUAGAUGACUCAUGAAAUUUGUAUAUGUACUUAACAAUAUUAUUAGAGUAUAUUUUAUAGGAAGUAUUAUAGAAAUGUAAGAACUUUCAAUAAUUGCUCAUUUGCAGUUUUUGAAACUCAUUAGAACUAAUUUCAAUAAAACUAAUGCCUCUUUUGUUGAACAAAAGUCAUGGUAUAAGAGGCAAACAUAAAUCCUAAUUUGAAGCAAAAUAAAAGGAAAGUGGAAGAAAAACACUCUUUGUGAGGAAAAUAAUCAAUCCCUUACAAAUUAGAGCCCUAUAAAUCACUUUUAGAGACAAUUCUUAAAGAAAAAAUCAUUAUUUAUUUAUGUAGAUGUUACAACGGUCUAGAUUAAUUUGCAAAGUUCACUGAACUUUUAUUAGUAUUAUGGAUGUAAUUUUUCUGGUGGUAAAAUGAGACUCCUUUUGUUUUGUGUUGUGUCAUCACAGCUUAAAUAUGUGGUCGUUAUAGCUAGGAUAUAUAUGACUCCAUGCAAUGCACAUAUAAGAUAGAACAUAUAAUGUGAUUUUUUGAGUAAAAAUAUUUUCCCAGAAUCACUAAAAUUUCACAAAAUAUAUUUGGUCCAUUCACAAGAUAUAAUGGGAUUGAGUAGCACAAUCCCCAAGGAUGAGGUUAUCUCUAAAGCACUCUCGCCUGUCUUUGAAGUCCAAUGGCCACCCACAAUCCUCAAACACCGUUGGAAUAUUCUCAAACAAUUGAAACACCUCUCUCGCAUUAUUGAACCUCUUUACUAGCACCUCUGAAUUUUCAUAGUUGGGGCCAAAAUAAAUUUUCUUUUGGUGGAGCCUUUCCUUUCUGUAAUUUGUGAUUUAUAAGCUCUACUAUCUUAGAAAUAGAUUCUGGUCACAAAUUACUUAGAUUUUACUCACAAGUUUUGGUAAAUACAUAAUCUCUUAAUUGAGCUGAAUAAGUGCCAUAUACCUUUACGAAGAAGAUGACGUUCAAUCUAGAGAGGGUGGAACAACUUUAAGGGGGAUUUCGAUACGGUGCUGUGGAGGCUAUUGCAAUGUUCUCGACAAUUAAAUAAGUUUGCUUGAUACUUGCUAGAAUUCGACGGACAUAAUAUGAAAAGAUCAUUUUCCUUUUCUUGAUCUUGCCUUAGCCUGCAUUACGCCUGCCGACUGUAUAAAUAAUUCAUGGCGUGGAAAUGCCAUAUAAAUUGCUAUGUCAUUUAGUAAGAUUUUUACAGUGAAAUCUUAAGCACCUGUCGAUGUCAUUAACUAGUUUUGGUAUUGCAAUCUAAUCUGUUAUUGUCGACUAUCAAUACUAGUAGUGAUUAAGGCACGUCAAAGAUGUCCUUACUCCAAAAUGGUUUUAAAUAUAUUGAGACCAACCAAGCUCCAACCAUCCUAAUUUGGAGCUCCUGAUCCCAGAUUUAUUCGACCUGAUGCUCAAGAAAAACAUGGAGCUAUUUGCAAUGACCGACUCCAACGGGGGCAAUGUAUUCCACUUAGCAGCUCACCUGAAUCACGCCUGGGUAUUCGAAUUCUUACGACCAGAAACUGAAUAUUUGACCCGAGAACCGGACAUGAAUGGAGAUCUCCCCAUUCAUAUUGCAAGCAAGAUGGGUUAUGUUGAACAUAUUGAGAAGCUAAGGGAAGUAUCACUUUUGCCAAAUGGGCAAGGGAAAAACAUUCUUCAUAUUGCCGCAAAAUAUGGUAGAGUCUCCGUAGUGAGAUAUAUACUCAGCCAUCCAAUUCUAGGGAAGAAUCCAAUUCUAGGGAAGAUGUUAAAUGCAGCAGAUGAUGAUGGAAAUACAGCUUUGCACUUGGCUGCGAUGCAUUCACAGCCCGCUGCUUUGAUUGAUCUUUUGCGGACUGACGGAAUUCUACCAAGCAUUUUCAACAAUGAAUGCUUGCUUGCUGUUGACAUUGCUCGACGACGACACCAGGCAGAGGGGUAUAACAUUCGGCAUGUAGGUAACAUGAACAGUCACUAUUUUAUUUAUUAACUUACUGGAGAUUACGUAGACUAAUGCAUUAGUUAAGGCUGAUCUUGUAUUCAAAUCAUUAUGUCUCCUAGCCAACUAGAUAGUAGAAGUAUUGAUCAAAUUUCUAGAAUAGCCGAGACUCCUCUCGGAUAAAUGUUCUACAAGUCCCUAAUUUAGUCUUGAUAGGAGGUAAUUAAAAUUUGUGAUCAUGAAUUUCUCUGCAGUUAGAAACAAGUAACGUGUCUUUCAUAACACGGAGAUAACAAUUUAUAUAUAUCGUUUAAUUGAGCCUCUGAAUACAGUCAUGAAUAAAAAGGCAGGGUUUGCCAAGGUUGCAUUCUGUUUUUCAUAAAAGGCCAGGGGUCAAUGUGACAAAUUUGACCGCUCCAUAUGUAGCACAAUCUCAUAACAUUAUCAUUUUGUCGACCUAUGAAAUGAUCGCCCACAUAAAUUCCAUUCAUGCCUCUUUUUUCAUCUAAAAUGAACUUGGUAGUUUUGUGCUAAUUCUUCAAAAAGAGCAGAAACUGCAUCUUUAGAAGCAAACGUUUCCAGAGUUCAUUCCCGUUAUCAAUAUGGAAUAAUUUUGUUCUUAUUUUCCUUUUUACAUGCUUCCGAUCUCAGCAAUUGGCAUACCUGGCGUUGGCUUGCUCGCUCGCGGGAAAAGGUCCACUUGGAAACCAAGAGUUACUCCUACUUAGAGCGAAAGCUCGAGAUGAAGAGUUAUCAGUAGUCCGCUCGCGCAAAAGCAUGCCGAGCAGGGACAUCGUCAAGGAUUACAUCAAUUCCCGCAUGGUGGUGGCAACGCUUGUGGCCACAGUGAGUUUUGCAGCUGGUUUUGCAGUUCCUGGAGGAUUUAACGGCUCGGACACAGCCUCCAAAGAUGAGCGGGGCAUGGCUACGAUGCUGGACAAUCGAAUGUUCCAGGCUUUCGCGAUUUGCAACACCAUCGCGAUGUUCUGCUCAAUGACUGUGGUCGUCAACCUCAUCUGGGCGCAGACAGUUGAUGUCGACGUUUUAGUCGCUGCAUUCGAGCGCACAACGCUACCACUACAAAUUGCACUCCCGGCGAUGUCCACCGCUUUCUUAACUGGUGUCACCUUGACCGCUGGCAAACUCCCAUGGCUUGCUAACACCAUAUUUUAUUUGGGACUCGUUUUCCUCCUCAUUAUCUCAUUUGCUAAAUUGUUAGGGGGGCCUAUCUUCUUAGAAAUCUUCGGUCAUCCUCUCCGUCGACUAACAUUCUGGCUUAUUCUCGCUUACAUUUAUUUGGGGAGAGUUGAGACGUACAUUUAUGAUGACGAUGACGCCAAAGAUAACAGAAGGGAGAAGAAGACCUUCGCUAGUCCGCCUGUGGAUGUUGCCGGUGAAUCGAGGACCGAUGACUCGGCGAAAGCAAAAUGUGAGGAUGCGUUACAUCCUCCAAGUCGCUGAUUUGAAUUGAUCAUUCCAUAUUAUCUGUAAUAUGUAGUAAUAAUAUAUGUUUUCCUUGGUGAGUGGGACUCACUAUACGGUUGCUUUCCUUUAUGUCAGAUCAAACGUGAUUGUUAAUGAAUGUAAGCUAAACCAUGUGUUUCUCUAAUAACUUAACUUAUUAGAAUUGUUGGAUAUAAUUCCAUCAAAUUUCAUAUGUUAUUAAAGCAGAGGUUCUAAGUUCAAACAUUUUCAGGUCCUAUUUGCUUCAUCUAUUAUAUGUUUUCAUGUUUCAUUCUUAGAUCAAGUCAAGCUUACGAGUGAAGAUGAGUAUAAAAGUAUUUGUAUUAAAGUAUUUGAAUUAAACAUCCCAUUUGUCUAAUAAUUUAAAUUUUUAGAACGAGUAAUUGUAGUUCCCCGAAAUUUCAAACCGAUACACACUUCAUGUAAAUUAAAUGGAUGAAUGGCUCAUUUCAUCCGUUUCAUCGCCCUGGAAUCAAAUUGUUAACUUUGAACAUGUGGAAGCUCGUGGGUUUAUGAAAUCACUCGUCUAGAGUAGCCAUGUCCGAUUUACUUUGAACUAGUCCAAUUUGCGGCAAUCUCGAGUCACGAAAUCCUAAGCACUCACUUACCUGUCUAGUAAGGGUGUGCAAAAUAUCCGAAAACCGCUCGGACUGCUCGGAACCAAACCGAAAUCGCCAAGUACCGGUGGUUCUUGAGGGAACCGGUCCAGUUCCUGGUUCCAAUUUAUGGGAACCGGUGGGUACCAGUCCAGUUCUUGGUUCCAUUGGCGGAUCCGCCCGCCCACCCACCCGGACCAGAUCGGAACCUUUUUAAUAUUUAAAAAAAAAAUUACUAAAAGAAACCCUAGAUCUCAUCUCACUCCCUUCAUCUUCGGCUCCUAAUCCUAUUGUCAUUUCGCUGCGUUUACUUCUCUCGCUGUUCGCAUCUCCACGUACUUAAAUUUGAUUUUUCUUUCUUUGGCUUGCUUUGAUGUCACGUAGUCCUUCUAUGUUGAAAAUCAAAAUUGUUUCGCGUCAAGAUCAGUUCCAUGGAUCCACUCGGGAAUCGGACCGCUCCGGUCAGGUUCCUGGAUGGAUCCAUGCAACAAACGAGUGGAUCCUGGUAUCAAUUUUUGGGAACCGGUUCUUAGCGAGUGGUUCCCAGUUCUAGAUCAGGAACCGCCCACCCAAACCAUGCACACCCCUACUGUCUGGUGUGCAAAGAAAAUAAUUCUCAAAUUCUCAUCGCCUACUCUCUGAGUCGAGAGUUGGGUGAAGAAAACCGGAACAAAAUAAUUCUCUUCACUACUCACAAAAAAAUAGAAUCAAACACCGAACUCAUUUCCAAUGACACCCCUUUCAUUUCCCCACUUCUCCCUCCUAGGCGCACAAUUUCUGUGCAUGCAAAUGAGUUUUGGUGUUUGAUUCGUGGCGGGGUAUAAUCUAGUGAGCAGCGGGCAGAAGUCAAGUCAAGGGACGAGAUAAAAAGGAGUUGCAAUACGCAACCCAAGGAGAAUUGUGGAAAAGUCUGGAUAUGUGAUUUUCCUCCUCCGAUCUCUGAUUUUUAUUUCAAAGCUAGUUGGUAUUGACACGUAGAAUAUAACUCUAAAGUGAUUCUGGACCUAUCUAUUCAACAGUGAAUGUAGAUAAUUACAAAAAAUAAAAAGGAUCCCCUUGUACGAAUGUCUAUUGAGUUAUAAACUAUUAAAAUUAGCCGAUUUAAUUUUAAACAUCUUGACGAUUUGUUAAUAUAGUCAUUUCAAUCAACUUUGACCGAAAAUCGUUGACGUAGACGCUAGCCAUCCUAUGGCACAUGACUAGUAUUGAGGUGGACAAUUUUUGUAAUUUAAAAAAAAAAAUUCUCAAUUUUUUUUUUUUUUUUCAUGUUUUCAUUUUCUUCAUUUUCUUUUCUUAUAUUUUCCUUUUUUCUUUUUCUUAUUCCCCUAUGCAGCCAUUGGCCGGUCCAUGGCUUCAAUGAUUGAUAGUAAGGGCCCAGAUGCCCUCGCCAACUGGCAAGGGCUGAUGGAUUUGCUAGGGCCACGUACUAAUGGAGGGAUAAAGGAAGGAAAAAAAAAGUUUUGAAAAAAUUGUAAAAAUUAUUCACAUUAGCAUCGGCACCUAGAUCUGGGCGAGGCCAAUCUCGUCAUGGCUUGGCCUAGAUCUGGGUGAAGCCGCCUCGCACACAGUCCUUAGGCCUCGCUCAUGGCCGACGAGACUUGUCAAAGAAGCAAAAGAAUAAAGAAGAGAAAAAAAUAAAAGGAAAAAUAAAAAUAUAUAUAUAUCAAAAAAAUUAUUAAAAAUUGCCACGUUAGCGUUGACCAAAUGGCCAGUGUCCACAUCAGCGCUAGCCAAUCAAAAUUGAUCGAAUAGAUUGAAUUGACAUAAUCACGAAAAGUUUAGAACUAAAUUGGCACAAUUAUAAUGGAUUUAUAACUUUUUUUUGGUAAUUCUACCAAUUUAUUUGUUAUCUCCAUCUUUAGAUUGCGACAUGUGUCCAUCCAAUUUUAGUCCUCACUGCACCUCAUCUAAAUACCAUCAAACCUUAGCAGCGAGGAUGGUACUUGGAGAUCUAUGCAAAUAUUUAUAUAUAAAAAUUACAUUGAGAUAGUAGAGUGUGCUCACCAUCAUCAUAUCAUCAUCCAUCAAGUCGAUUCCACAUAAUGAUCUAUUUGUCACUUUCAACAUCCUGGGACCGACCCAAAAAAACAUCCUAGGGAUUAAAUGUUUCAAUUAAUUACGGUAGGAUAGAAGUAUUUUUCAUCAAGAACGGACAUUCAAGAAGUCUUGCUAGAUUGAUAGAUUGAUGUUGCAAAUGGUUCUCUUCUCAAGUAGCAUGAAAAAUUAUGCUACUCAAAUGUAGAGCCUCCUUUUUUCUAUUUUUUCAGCAGAUCUUCCAAAUCAAAUUACAGGGUUACAACUUUGAAAACUCACAGUACAAGUACAAAAAAUACCAAAUCAAUCAUCUAUUGACUUCUCGAUGCUCAUUAAAUCUGAUUCACAAAAUAGGUUGGGACCCAUUUUGCUAGCCCUACUAAAAUCUAAACAUUUUAUUAAAUUAAGGAUUUAUACAGCAUCCUAGUUCACAAAGAUGUGUUGCUGUUGACAAAUCGACAUUGAUUGAUUUUCAUGAACUCGUCGUCAUAUUGUCGACAUUCCCAUUAUAUACGAGCAAAGAGCGAACUUUGAUUUUUGAGCAUCAAGAGAUAAGACAGACUUAAAUAGAAUGCCAAAUAGCCCAAGUGUCACGUCCAAACCCCAAACACUUUUUUUUUUAACCCCAAACACAUUCAACUAUUGUUUUUUUUUUUUUUUUCCUUAUAACUUUCUUCAAAUAAUAUAAGAAUGUACUUUAUGGUUAAUGAUCAUAUAUAUCGCGGUUUAUGAAAGACUGUGCCACAUCGAUAGUUUUAGAUGUUAGUCCAAAUUCGAAAUACCAGGCUGAUGUUCGAGAUUUUAUUGGCCAUUCGGCAUUUCAUUUAUUACUCAUGAAGUCUAUCAUUGCAUGAAAUUUACUGAAAAUUAGAGAAUCUCACAAUACCAACAAAACAUCAAGUUUAUUCAACUUUUUUACCCUUGAUACACUCCACAUGUAGCCCAAUUUACAAAAUUCCACAAAAACCACUGCUUAGCAAAGACGAACAACAGCACCCAUCGGCCCAACAUGCUUUGCUCCAAGCAUAGAGUGACUCGAACUCGUCUUGUCUCCUUUUCAGUUUACCACAACCAGACAUAUUUAAUACAGUACCGUGAACAAGACAAGAUAGCGAUGAGAUCGGCUCAAUAGGCAUCAGGGUUUGCCAAGAGAUAAGCCUCGAUGGCCUUGAACAUCGCGGACGCCUUCUCUUUCCCAGCCUUGAUCUUCUCCUCAGUUAUGUCCGCCUCGCCAAUGGUGAAGUACUUGCUCGUGCUCUUGCACACCGAGCCUCCCUCGGCCGAUGUGGUGAUCUUCACCCCGUAGCUGAUCUUCUCGAAGGUGGUGCCCAGUGCGUCGCCCUCGAUGAUCGAGUAGCUGUAGGUGAAGUUCUCCUUGUCCAGGGCCUCGACCUUGUGCUUCAUUGUCUUGUACUGACUGCCUAUCAAGGUAACAAAAAGUAAUAUUCACGUUUGGAACUCGCUGGUUUCAACAUCACGGGCAAUGAUCUUGAUGGUGUCAAUUGGGCCAUUUAGGAUGUUCCAACUGCAAUCUGAUACGAUUGACUUAGACAUGGCCUGAUUUCCCUCGAUUGGAGUCAAGUCACGUGAUCACUUGUGUAAAGUUAUUCCCAUUGACCGCGAGAUAUCCAAGAGCAAAGUCGCUGCAUAUAUCUUGCAGCAUUUCUCCGAUGAAGCUGUUGUUCGAAAAGGUAACGAUCCCCAGAGAAGGGCUGUACUUGCCGAAAUCACGUGUUAUGCCUCCCGAGAAAUUGUUCUUGAACAAUGAGAUGGACCAUAAGUUAGCAAGGCGAGAGAUGGUCUCACAAGAAAAUAUUGUGUACACAAGCGAUGCUACGUCAUGGCUUUUCCUUCCCAGCCUAGAUCUGCUCUUCUUCAACCUGAAGUGCCUUCUUGCUGUUGUCCUUGCUCGUCAUCCUGCAGACUGACCCUCCGUCGCUGGUGGCCUCAAACUUGACCUCGUAAUCGAUCGACUGGAGCUUGUCACCCAGCGUGUCGCCCUCGAUCAUCAUGUUCCUACACAUGAAGUUCUACUUGUCGAGCUCAUCGAUCUGGUGCUCACAUGAAGUUCUACUCGUUGAGCUCAUCGAUCUGGUGCUUCACAUACUUGAAAUGACUAGCUGCAAUUACAUUAUGAAACUCCCUGCUCGAUGAGUGUUGAGUGUCCAUGCCUUCGGUGAAAUUUAACUUGCUCAAUGCUCCCGGCUCCACCGUCGCCUUGCACCAGCUCCACGCUCUUUAUGAACUGAGGCAGGAGCUUCGGGAUCAGGGUAUUUGACUCGACAAUCAAGGCCUUAAGAAUGCGAGCCAGAGCAAUCGGGCAUGUGAGCUCUUGUGUGAAGCUGGUUGCACCCAUGGCUAUUGGCAAUGAGAAAGAAAUAACCCCAGAGAAGAGUGCUUCUGAGUCCUGUCAAUGCCUCCUAAUUACGGUUGGAAUUAUGUCAAUAGGUAGGGUUGGUUUGGCAAGAGUCACGCUCGAGGAAAAAAGGAGAGUCAAGGAUUUGCAGCCUAAAGGAAUGGAAAAGAGGAAUAAAGGUGGUCUCUUUUGUUCUUUUGGUCAUGAAAAUGAUUUCGGUCCCUUUCGGAUUCAUGUUGAAAUGUCAAAGUUUAUGUUCCAAAAGAUGAACAUUCUAGUGCUCACAUGGGCGGCCAUCCCUUUGAAAUGAUUGUUGUGGAGUUCGAUCUAACAAUUUGCCGAUUAAAUAUUAUAACGAAAAUGUCCUUGUUUGAAGAAAAGUGUAUUAAUCAAAUUCUGUCUCAUUUAAUAUGUAGCAAACGAGAAUACUUUAUUAGUUGGUGAUAUCACGUUAACUUGUCGCGCAAUAUAAACAUCACAUAAUAUAUUUCUUCAUUUGUAAUGCCCUAAUGUCACGGUGGAUCUAAUUCAAAUGUAUGAAGUAAGGCCUUUUGAAAUCAUUUUCGUAACUUAGGGUUGAUUCAAACUUCACUAGCACCGACAGUUUGACUCAGUCAAAAUUGGGUCGGCAAUCGGGGUGUCCCAAGAUCAGCUCGUCGUCUAAGUUUUGGGGGAGGUGGAGGCUGCGGCUUUUCCGUUAUAUUUUGCUUCUCUUUCUCUUUUUUAUCAUUAUCAGUGUUGAAGCAUUUGAUCUCUAAUCCAAUGUCCCCAUCAAAGAUGUCCCCAUCAAAGAGGUAAGAUAGGAUUAGCUUAAAUAGAAUUUCAAAUAGCCCAAGCGUUACAAUAAGAUAAGUCCAAAACCUGAACACUUUAACUUUAUUUUUCGAUAGCGUUCUUGACAUAUAAUAAGAAUGUGCUUUUCUUUAAUGAUCAUAUGCAUAACAAUCUCUGAAAGAUUCUACCACAUCCAUAGUUUUAAGUGUUAAUCCAAAUUCAAAACAUAAGUUUGGAUUUAUUCAUUUGUUACUCAUGAAUUCUAUUCUUUUAUGAAAUUUAUUGAAAAUUAGAGAAUCUCAUGAUACCAACAAAAUAUCAAGCUUAUUCAACUUUUAUUCCCUUGAUACGCUAUUUAUGUAGCACAAUUUACAAAAUUCCACAAAAACCACUUCACCAGAUUCCUGCCACACCUUUCAUUCUCUUAUUCUCAGCAAAUACAAGAACAGCUACGCUCACCAGCCCCCACAAACUUUACUCCAAACACAAGAGUGACCCAAACUCUUCUUCUCUCCUUGUGAAUUUAGCACAACCAGACAUAUUUCACACAGUACAGUGAACAAUCCAAGAUAGCGAUGAGAUCUACUCAACAGGCAUCAGGGUUUGCCAAGAGAUGAGCCUCGAUGGCCUUGAACAUCUCGGACGCCUUCUCUUUCCCGGCCUUGAUCUUCUCCUCAGUGAUCUCCACCUCGCCGAUGGUGAAGUACUUGCUCGUGUUCUUGCACACCGAGCCUCCCUCGGGCGAUGCGGUGAUCUUCACCUCGUUGCUGAUCUUCUCGAAGCUGGUGCCCAGCAUGUCGCCCUCGAUGAUCGAGUAGCAGUAGGUGAAGUUCUCCUUAUCCAGGGCCUCGACUUUUUGCUUCAUUGUCUUGUACUGACUGCCUAUCAAAGUAAGAAAAAAUAAUAUUCACGUUUAGAACUCGCCAGUUUCAACAUCACGAGCAACGAUCUCGAUGGUGUCGAUCGGGCCUUUUAGGUUGUUCCAACUGCAAUCUGAUACGAUUGACUUAGUAGACAUGGCCUGAUUUCCCUCGAUUGGAGUCAAGUCACGUGAUCACUUGUGUAAAUCAAUGGUUAGAAACAUCUUUAAUUGAUCAAGUUACAUAUCUAUCCUUUUUAAUGUUCAUUAUGAUGUUCCAUAAGGUUGAAACAGCCUUGAUCCAGAGCGAUCCUAACACGGACGGACUAACCUUCGCCGAAAGUGAUCAACUUGACGGUCCCGGGACCUCCGUCGCCCUCGAGGACUUCGACGCUCUUGAUAGCUUGCGGGAGCACCUUCAGGAUGAGGUUAUCGGCGUCGAGGACAGCGGCCUUGAACAUCUUGGCCGGAGGGAUUGGGGUCGUGAUCUCGCAGUCGUAACUGACGACACCCAUGAUUUGGAUCCGAAUGGAGUUGCCGAAAUAGAGAAGAGAGUGAUCAGGAAAGGCUGACUAGCAGUGAUGAAGUUGGUCUCUAGGACUUGGGAGUGAGGAGAAGAGGAUGAACCGAA